UUUUUUUUUUUUUUUUUUUGUAGAUUAUUCACUCGUUUUGUGUUUCCUUCUUUUUCUGGGACAGAGACAGCGUUGUUCGUGUUGGGAUCUGAUAGUCUUUUCAAUUGGGCCCUUCGGCAUUUUAUGCAAAUUGUUGGGCUCUCGACCCUUUCCUUUUCACAUUGUCUCGAAGAAUAAGUAAUCCUUGCUUAGCAUAGAAACGGGAUAUAUACCUGAUCCUUGCUUGGCAGAAGAUGGGACUUUCGGCAGGAAAAAAUCCACGAUCCAGGGGUAAGGACCAUGUGACGUUUGUCUCAUAAUCGACUGGAGGAGGAUAGAUUCCCAUUUUAUGUUUCCUUUAGCCUUUUCGAGUGGUUCUUAGAUAAAUGAGGCAUGGUUUCCAAUUUUGAGCUUAUGCCAUGGAGGACUUCGAAUUGGGUUUUCAGAAUUUUUAGUGAAACAUUUUUCAAGUGAUCAUGUGGAAUCAAUCAUGGCAUCAUAAAUGAGAUAUUCUUGCGUGCUAGUGUGCUGAAGUUGGAGCUCGCAACGUUCAGGAUUUGACUGCCUUUGUGGUAAGAAUCAGUUGUGCUUUCCCAAGCACAAAGCUAAGCAUUGACCAGCACUAGUUCCGAUCACAUCCCUAGUGGCACCUGGUGUUUUUUUUUUUUUUUUUUUCGACACAGGGGUGUUUGGGUCAAUUUUUAAAGGAACCCGACUAAUCCCCUGCGACCCGGACCUUGGCUCCCCAACCCGACCCAAGCACGGUAAGUGCGCGGAGGAAUCCAGUAGCGCAGAGACUCGAACCUGGGACCUAGAGGUUCACCAGGGGAGGUGCCGUCUCUGGAUCAUUCACGCGGGGGCAGUGGCACCUGGUGUUAGCUUUGCUACUUUCUCAAUACAUUUUUCUAUAAAUAAAUCUUAUAUAUAUUGACCAUAUAUACACUAUCACAAUUGUUGGAUAUAUAAUACGUAUAUAAAAUUUGAGUUUCAAAUUCCAAUUUCGAAUUAUGUAUCAUGUAUCUAAUGAUAAAAGUGUAUACACUGUAAGUGUAUAGAGAAUUAAUCAUUUUCCUAUUUAAAUCUCAUGCCUUUAAGAUUUAUUCAGCAAAGAAUAUAUUAACUGUAGUCGACUGCCUAUUUAUCCCUGAACCUAAAGAAAUAUAUAGUAAAUCAUUGACAAAUACAUAGAUUAGACAAAAGAAUUUCAUAGUGCUGUACUAGUAAUUAAAAGAAGGAUCAUGAGAAGUUUGCUCUUGAGGAAGUUCUUCACAGACUUCUUUUAUUUUUGACAAUCUAAGUGGAUAUUUUAUUUUGAACCACCAUAGGCUUACAUUACUAAUGGUUUUCCUUUUCCUUUCUCGAGUAUAAUUAUAAUACUCUUAUGCCUAGUUUGGGAGAUGAGAUUUGCCACGUUUGAGAGUUUUAGUGAGAAAUAAAAAGGAAGAGAAUCCGACUAAUUUGAAAGGAACAAGAAACCUGCUACAGUUUAAAAAAAAUUUCAGCCAAAAUCGAGCAAAAAGCAAAGGAAAGCUACUGCAAAAAUAUUUUAAAUUACCCAUUCUUAUCCUUUUUUCUCUCUCGUAACUUAACCUUUCUCUUUUUUUUUUUUUUGGUAUCCUCAACUCACAAACCAGACGAAUCAUGCAUUUGCUUUCAACAAUUUUCAAGAAGAACAUGUACAUCAGCAGAACGAACUGGACCUGUGGUCGUGGACUGGGCCUGGGCUUCACAAUGCAGGUAGCCGAUUCAAAUUUGAGCCCAGGACAUGAUGGUGGUCUUGUCUGCAAAGAACCCACCUCACCCAUGGGCCUCAACAUGUUUAAUAUAUAUCGAACCCACGACCACGUGGUUAAAAGCCACGCGCUCUACCGGCUGAGCUAAGACGGCAUGAUUGGUGAUUCGACGUUAGCCGUUACACAAGGCAUUCGCAACGGAGUGCAAUCCGCGAUUGGACGUUAGCCGUUACACAAGGCAUAGCACAUGUUCAUUUCAUUAUGUUGCCUUCUUUUAUUACCCUAUCUCUCGUUUACAGAGUGUCUAGAAUCAAAUUGUAUAUUUAUUUUAAUAAUUUACAAUAAAUAUCUGAUAAAAUUUAAAGCUUUUAAAGUUGUAAAAUGAAAUCUACAACCAAUUUAUCAUGAUGCGUGUCAUGGCUAUUAGACUUCCAUUAUACUCUCAUUAUGGAAGAGGGUAUACUGGUCGAGCCUUCUCUCACGCAAGCAACUUCCAUAAUUUUUGAAUUGAAUUCAGUUAAGCUGCAUUUGGCUCAGAGAUACUUGGCAUAAGAUUUGAAAUUCUUUCACAUUUUUCUAGUUAUUUGGAUUAUUUAGGAGGUAUUUGGGUUCCUAAUUCAUAGAUUCUUUAAGUGUAUUUUAAAUAUAGAAAUAAUUAAUGAAUUACAAACUCAAAUUUCUCCUAAACAAUUUAAACAACAAGAGGAAUUUUGCAGAGUUGCAAAUCUUUCGUCAAAUCCCUGAUACAAACAAAGCCUUAGUGAUUGACAUUUUCAUUGGUUCUGGUAAUUUGAGAAUUUCCUUUUUUUUCUCGACUCGAUUGUCCUUAAUAAUUCCAUUCAUUCUUGAUUAGCGCAUUCCUUCCGGCCUUCAGGAUUUUCUUCUAUUCCAUCUUUGAUCUGCAUAAAUAUUAAAUAGUAGUACAUCAAUUGAAUUAACCCAAAGUCAUGCUCAAAAUAGAACUUAGAAAGGCAACAUCUCUCCACGCUUUUAAUUUAGACGCAACUUUUAAUUAUAGGUUCUUUCAAGUAGUUGCAAAACUGGAUGCAACAAUUAUUCUCAAUCUUUUGCUAUAUAUGGUCGUGGCUACAAAAAAAAUACCUUAUACUUUUAGGCCAAACAUUAUUUAUUAAAAUUUAAGAAUCCAAAUGUCAAGCUUGAGCUUAUAAAGUAUGAAGUCUAACCUUGGUGAAGGUAAAUGCAACAGAAAUUUCUCCAGAGUAGGACUUGUCCGAUUGAACAACUCUAUAGAGGCGAGGUUGAACUUCAAGCUUCCCCUUCUCUGCCCCGAUUGAUAGUAUAUCUUUUACGUACACCCUACAUGCACCAAGUUAUUAAUUUAAACACCAUAAAGAGAAAAAAUUAUGUCAACAGCAUAUUACAGUCACAAAAAUUGAUGCAAAAAGAAGUGAAAUAUUAUAUAUAUAUAUAUAUAUAUAUGUGUGUGUGUGUGUGUGUAUAUAUAUGUAGAGAGGAGGAGGGUUACGUAGAUUCGCCAACAAAAACAUCGUCGGUGAACUUGUGUUGGUCCAUGACGCGAAAUAUGAUCUUAUACACUCGAUCUUCUCCGCCAUCCGGAUACUUCACCUCAAACGCGAAUUUCUCAUUCCACUCUCGUUUGUUUCCUUUCCCUGCAAUUUUUUUUUUAUUACCAAAUUAAGUUCAAAGUUUUCGAGAGCUAGAUAACAUACUAAUAUGGGGAUUACCUUUGGCUACGCAGCUGGUACGCUCCUGCUCUCCGUACAGGAUGUGUACGUAAGGCUUUGUUGCUAGAUUACAAGGAUUUAGGCAAUUUAAGCAACCUACGAAGAAUAUGUUUUUUUUUGUUAAAAAGAAAAGAAAAAAAAAACGAGGUUGUGGACAGAAAUUCCUUAGAGAAUAAAGAAGAGAUAUAUAUAUACCAGGAAUGCAUUUGUCUCUGUCUCUGAUACCUUGAGCUUCCACCAACAGGACCUCCAGCCUGCCGUUUGCCAUCCGAGUUUAGGAAGAUGAUCAGUAAGUAGUGACUUCUCUGGGAAGUUCUUGCAUUUUUAAAGCUGCCCGGCGGACCUAAUGCUAAUGGAUUAGGUAGGCUGACCAAAGAGGUUCUAAGAAAAUUUUUCCUGAAAAGCUGUCUACGUAAACAAUAAAGAAUUAGGAGCAAGUGGGAUUUGUUUCGGAUCCAUAUUAAGUUGAAAUUGUAUGACAAAGCCGUAGUUGGGAUUUAUGACUAUUGAGUAAUCGAUGACUUGGAGAUGAAGAUCAACAUGUAAUAUAGCAGCUAAGCUUCCUUAAGCAGGCAGCUAGCAUUUGAUACCGCGUCAAUUGGACGUUGCGGAGCUGGACCAUUUGACGCAGGUUACCCGAAAACCAACCCGUUCCUUCAUCCAGCUGUGUAUUUUGACUGCCAAGAAGACAGCAAACUCCCGUCUUUUUCUUUUUCUUUUUUCCUUUUUUCUAAGGGUGCAAACUCCCAUAUUUAAUUUCAGGAAAAGGUGUGGGAAAAAAAACACAAGAAUUAAAAUACUACAUAGAAACCGCGUGUAAUAUUACUCCUACCAUUCAUCAGACAUCAAUCAGAUCAGUUGUUUGUUUGUGUAAUUCUAAUUACACCACAUCUUACUUUUUACGAAUUCUUGUGUUUGGAUUGCAUUUUCUGUCAUUUUUCAUGAAAAAAUUAUUGUAGCGAUUUGAUAUAUGUGAGGGAAAAAGGUGAUAGGGAAAUGUGAUCACGGAAAACGACAAUAUUUUCCGACGGAAACAAGCAAUCCAAACAAGGCCUUAGUAUAUCAACUUCUUUAGGUUGUGGUUAUUACAUAAUUUUUUUUUUUUUUUUAUUCACUCGUUUAAUUAGAAGUAGCUAAAACAAACAUGUAACUUUUGAGUUCAACCGUCGUAAGGUGAAUUCCAAAACCGUCAAACAAAACAAAACAAUUAGGUAGGCCAGGACCAUAUAUUGUGGACAAUUUUUCUACGCGGCAAAUUAUUCUUUUGCCAAAUUUCGUCAGAUUGUUUUUUUACUUUUGCUUUUCGUUGUUGGACUUCAACUCACCCACGGCCAGGGGCCAUGACAGUUUGGGCUCCCUUGGGCUUCUCUAUGCAAUGCCAUGCACCCAUAACCAAGGGGGCUUGAUUAGUACAACGAGAUUUGGGCUCGAUGGAGAUUAAAUUGGGAUAUCUGCAUUUGAAUCUACGUCUUCUUAUCUACUACUCCGGGCCAGCAAUCCAAAAACUCAAGCACCUGCUGCCAAGCCCAUGAAACAAAAUUAAUAAAUAAAGGGUCAUGGACUACACAUAUAAACAGAGAGCUUAUAGCACACAUGCAAAGAGUUCAAACGCUACAAACUACAAAAUUACAAACCAAAGAGCAACAAGUUCCUAAUCUUUCCUCGCAACAUCUGAUGCAAAGAUCCAUCUACCAAAAGCAUGCAAAACCCUUGCAUUACAAGGAAGGAAGAGCAGCAGCUUUUUAAGCCUCGCCAUGACCACCGUAUUACUAAAAAGCAAAAACUGUACAUCACUUGGGAAUAUAGCAAAAAAUUGAUCAAUGCUCUCGCAAUGGAAUUGUCUUUCCUCCUUCCUUCAAGCAUAAAGUGGUGAAGAUGAAGGUCUAGGGUAAGCCGUCAUUCCAGGAGCUUCUUCAGCACUUCUUCUGCAAUGCCUAGGCCCACCACCUGAAUUGCCAUGCAGAUUUAACUGGCUGUCCUUCUGGUCAUGGUUUGAUGUGCCUUUCAAGUCCUGGAGCUGCUCUAGAGUUGUUACAACCUCGUCCAUGCUUGGCCUCACCUUGGGGUCCACGGACAAGCAGUGAAUGGCAAGAUUAGCCACCCUUAGUGCUCGACCCAUGGAAUACUGGCCUUCAAGACGGGCAUCCAGAAUGCGGAAAAUUCGGCGUUUGUUGGUAAGGUAAGGUUUUGCCCAUUCCACUAGAUUGUGUUCCCCAGUUGGCCGAUUCUUGUCUAUUGCUUUUUUCCCAGACAACAUCUCCAGAAGAACAACUCCAAAGCUGUAGACAUCGCUCUUUGCAGUUAAAUGACCUUUUCAGCAAGGAUAAAAGUUAAUAAUGGUGCACAUUAUUAUGUUACUAAAACCAGAGUGAGUUCCAUCAAUCAAUUGUUUACCAUAAAAGUUAAUGAGAAAUAAAUGUAAACCAGAAGAGUGAUAAAAAUGUCCAUCUCUUUAACAGCAAGGACAGAAGGUUACGGAAAUAUCAUACUUCAUGGCCAGUCACAUCCAUGCUCAUCAUAUUACCGUCAUGUUAUAUGUUUAUUCCUUGCAUCAUGAUCACAUCACCAAUUUGUCACAGAUUUCCCCGUAUAUAUAUAUGCAUGUGUGUGUGUGUGUUUGCGUGCAUGCGUGUACACACACAUACAGACCGACACAAGUUGAUCACCCAUCAGAUUGUAUUCUGCAACAGUACUACAUCAUCUUCUUCUGAACAGAGUAUCAAAGUGUAAUGACUAAUCAUCUUUCAAAAUAAUUGUUUCUUUAAAAGAAUUUUGGUUGCAGCAAUUUACAAAAGAAGAGUUCACACACGUGAUAUAGAACAUGAAAUGCCAUAAAACAGAAACGCAAAUCAACCGGAACAAUGGAGGAAAGCUAAAUACAGAAGCUUAGCAAAAAAUGUUCUAUAGCAUGUAUUCAAGUCGGGAACAUGAAACAAAGAUACAAUGACAAUGGUAUUAUGACACGCUAAGUUGAUUUACCUGUUGAUAGGUACUCAGGGGCAGCAUAACCAUAGGUCCCCAUAACCCUAGUAGAGACGUGGCUCUUAUCACCAGUUGGCCCAUCCCUGGCCAACCCAAAAUCAGAAAGUUUGGCAUUGUAGUUCUGCAGAAUUAAACCAGAAAAAACAGCAAGGGAAAUAGAAAUCAGAAGACAGAUACUAGUCAUGUCAUGCGUAAUAGAAGCAAGAAAGUUCAUUAUCUGUUAAAAUAUUAUGGAAAAUGGUUCUCGAAUCACAUACGGAGUCAAGGAGGAUAUUAGAAGUCUUGAAGUCCCUAUAAAUAACUUUUGUUUCAGCACUGUGAAGAAAGGCAAGUCCCCUGGCAGCGCCAAGAGCAAUUUUCAUACGAAGGCUCCAAGAGAACGGCUGGAAGUAAGAUCCUUCUGAUUGAAUGAAAAUCAACAUGUGAGAGAACAUUUCCAUUAUUAAUAGAUAGAAUAAACCAGGAAACUCUUGUCACAACUAAAAGGUCUAGUCCUAAGAGGACAUAAGAACCUACUUCUGAAUAGAUGAUUUUCCAUGCUACCCUUGGGCAUGAACUCGUAGACCAAAAGUCGGUGGUCAUCCUCCAAGCAGUACCCGAUCAACUUCACAAGGUUAGGGUGACGCAGCUGCCCAAGAUAAUUAAUCUCGGCCUGCAAAUCCAAAAGUUCAAAAAGAAAAAUUAGCUAGUUGACAGGUGAAGAGAUAAUUCUUCAAAACUUUAGUGCAAUAUGAAUCACUUUAAGUGUGCCUAAGUGCUGUGUUGACUUAAAAGAUUCAAAGUAUUUCUAAGAAGCCUACGUAACAAGCAAGGCCAAAAAAAAAAAAAAUUUUUGUGUCAUAAAGUACUUGUGCUACAAAUAACUUGCCUCCUAUCACUUAUGAAUAAGAAUUGAGGAUAUGCCAAAAAUUUUAGAUUGCUCACCAGCCACUCCUUGUGCCCCUGCCAACCAUCUUGGUUUAGCCUCUUCACAGCUACAACUAUCCCAGUCCCAGGCUUUGAUGCUGCUUGGGAUUGCUCAUCAAUCCACCCCUUGAAAACAGAGCCAAAGCCACCUUCGCCCAAAACACUGUCAGGCCUGAAGUUUCUGGUAGCUGCUUUGAGUUCACCAAAGGCGAAGCUCUUCAAGUUGGAGGACUCCAAGAUCUCACCCUCACUUCGAGGGGUCUGACACAUGGAAAAUGAAGAGGCCUUGCUGCUCAAAUUGCUCGUCUGAGUCCCAUCCUCACUCACAUUUCGUGAGUUUACUUCUACACACAGUCCAACAGCUAAGCGAUACGAAUAGAACUGAGAAAACAAAACAAGCAGCUAGGAUAUAUAUGGUACUUUUUUUUCCCACAGGCCAAGACAACGUGUAGGUCAUACAAAAUGAAACUUCGUGAACUGCAUAGAAGCACGGUAAAAAGGACCCUACUCGUACUGAAGUCCAGCUAGCAGUUACAACCCAAAAAUAAAAAGUACUUUGCAGCUAAGAAUUCGCAUCACCUAGUUUAGACUUUAAAGUCAGUUGAACUAGAUAAACCUCUAAUUGAAAUAAUCCUAGAAAGAUUCACUUCCUAAUCCACACAAGAUAAAAGAAGAAUGAAGACCGUGGAAAAAUACCAGAUUAAACAAUUUAGCUAGCUAAGAUUGAUGGAUUAUACAAUAAUGGCAAAGAGAGACACCUCCUUCCUCAUAUUUCCUUCAAUUUGUAUACGUGAAGAACGGAAGCGAAGAUGAAGGGCAAAUUACCUGUACCAGAGGAAAAUGGAAACUCAGCCUUGACUUGUUGGCUCAAGCAAAUCCCCAUGGAAGCAAAGCUUCAAAAAAGAGACAGCAAUUCUUCGCUCCAGAAACCAAGCAAAGCGCAAGAGCCCACUUCAGGAUGUCAUUCGUAUAUGCAUAAUAGUAUUAGAUUAUAUCACAACCUGCUGCCGCAGUUGAGUUAAAACACAUAAACAAACUUGAAUACCAGCACUAGCACGAUUGUAACCACCCCAGAACUUCUGUGAAUCCAGAUCUAAUGUGAAUUAUGCCUCUCCUCCCUUUCCUCGAGUUAGGUAUUAGCCGCCAACCACACCUCCCCUUUUCUCUCUUACUGUUGAGAAGAAUCCGUGGAAAGAAGAAUGAUUGAUAGUAUACAUGUAGUAUUUUGCAAGCAGCUCACGUUAAUUGAGGACUAAAAAGGGAUGGGUCUCUGACGAGAGAAAAGUUGGAAGUAGAAAGUAGAGAGUUGGAGAGGGGUUUUUAUUUUAAUUGCCAAUGGCUAAGACGGAAAGAAGGAAGAAGGCUACUUUUAGACCCUCGUGGGGAAUGAAGGUUGACUCGCCUUUUAGCUUCUUCUUCCUCUCACUGCGUUGCAAGAUACUUAUUAAACAAGCAAUUGAUGACAACUGAAAAUCAGUCAAAAAACUUGACGACUAGGGCAGCGGACUAGUAGGUGGGCUGUGUGAUUCAUUUCACAAACUUGACGGGUGUUACGAUUAGUUCCGACUAAUAUUCGUUUGUGAUUGGAAUUUUUUGUUUGCUCAUUUUAGAUUCUAGCCGUUUUGUCGGGUUUAAAUGGUCUAAUUCAGCGUGCAUUUUAGAAUGGAAAAUCAGCAGGUUGAUUAGUAAAUCGUUGUUUACUUAGUCUAUCAAUGGCUAGAUGGAGCUAAAAUGAUUACCUCUACUCUUUGUCAUUGAAUCCAAUUAAUGCUCAAAAUUUUAUUUUAUUUUUUACUGCUAAUUUAUCUUCACAGUAGCAAGUCCCAACUUUAAAGUCCGUUUGCACAAACUCGAGAGAAAAUUUUGCACUAUGAUGGUGAAAAUUUUAUGUCUUGAGAGAUUUUUUUUCUUUCUUUUUUUUUUUUUUUUUGUAAAAAUUUGCAAUCCAAACAAGGUCUUAAGUCCUCACUUCGAAAAUAUAUCAACAUUACAAGACAAUGAACCAACUCUCUCUCGAAGAGUUGGUCAUCACAUUAAUUGUGGGGCGGGAGAUUUAAUGGUCUUGUUUGGACAGUAAUUUUUCAAAGAAAAAUUGCUACGUUUUUUCGUAAACACAUUUUUCAAUUACCUUUUUACUUCACACAUGUCAAAUCGCUACAGUAAUUUUUCUACAAAAAAUCUAAAAAAAUGCAAUCCAAACACAACCAAGAACCUUACCUCCUAUCAAUGCGCCUCUACAUGAGAAUUAUUCUAAAUUCAUACAGGUGCGUAGUACACCCCGUCUAGUCUGAUUCUGCAUUUUUUAUUUUUUUUUACGAAAACUCACAAACCAAACCAAGGUGCAAAAGACUUCAUUGGGAUUGUGAGUUUUUUUAAAUAUAUUUCUCUUAUAAAAUAUAAUAUUACAAUGUAAUAUAUAAAGCAAAUAGAUGAUUGAAAAAUUUGUCGAGAGAAUUUCUUAAAAAUUCGCAAUUCAAACAAGGUACUAUGACCUCACUUGGAGACAACCUGCAUUACGUAACUCGCCCGGAGAAAGAGUCAAAUAAUUGAUGACUAGUAUUUUAUUUUUACCAUUACAUGGAGAAAGAGUCAGAUAAUUGCGUCCCCCACCCCAGCCAAAACCAUCCAUACUUCCACUGGGCACACAUGUGGAAACCUUAAUAAAAAAAAAUUUGGAUGUUUUAGAUAAUCUGAUGCUUCUAGUUGUUCCGUCCCUGUCUGUCCCCGCUUUUCUUCUAGAACUGCAGGUUUUUAAAUCGUUUCUGAAGGAAUUAUUGAAAGUGUGGAACAUCUGACAGGGAUUUCCUUUUCUUUCUUGCUUGCUUUCUUUCCUUCUUUAUUUUUUUUUUUUUUGUAAUAAAUAACGUCGACAGGUUGGUCAAACACUAUAUAGAGCAUGGUAUUAUAUUUUACAUACAAGUUAGAACCACUCUCCUUGGAACAUUUGACAGGUUUUCUAAAUUAUGCAUCAUUUAGAUAAUUGAAAAAAGAAGAUUCAUAAUUUGGAUUUUGCAAGGUGGAUUUACAUAGGAAUUAGAAAGUGGGCCGUCAAGAAGGCCAAGAAAAUUCAUUUGAUUUUCUGAACAAAUAACCAGGAGGCGUGUUUGGAUAGAGUGUAUUAUUUGUAAUAUGAUUUAGAAUAUUUACUGUAAUAUUUUUUUUAGAUGUGAUAUAUAUAAGAUAAAAAGAUAGCUGAAAACAUAAAAAAAUGAUUGAAAAAAUGUGUUUUAUAAUGCAAGUGAAAUAUUAUUUAAAAAAAUAUUUGUAUCCAAAUCGUUUGGGGGAAAAAAUGAAGUCGGACAAAUAUACCUAAAACCAUAAUAAAAUGAUUAAUAAUUUAGAAAUUUAGGAUUUGUGUCAAUGAUUUUAGGCCCAAUUGUCAUCAGAGAUUUGAUCUGGUCUGCGGGGUAGUGCAUGGUUUCAUUGUUGCUUUCACUGUUGCAUGAGAUCAUUUCUUUUAAAGCCACUUACCAUCAAUAUCAAUAUCGCUUUGUGAAGUUGAAUUGAAAAGAAAAUAUCAUCUGAAAUCAAAGACAAUUUCCCUAAUGAUCAUAUAAUUCUGCUAAGAACCUGAAUGCGCAUAAUCAGCACUGUUACUAAAAGGAACAAAAAAAGUGUUAUGGUAUAUCUGAUUUCUUAUAUUUUACUUUAGCCAAUAUAUUCCCAGGUUUUAAUUUCAAAUAAUGAGAAUUAGGAUGGGUUACUUACCCAAUAAAUAAAUAAAUAAAAAUUAGGAUGGGUUAAUAUUAUUAUUAUGUGUUUGUAGCCCGUCGCCUUGAAAAUGGAAGCCCAAGACAAGGGUCCUUUGGAAGCGGCAUCCAGCCCAUUCUCACGAACAGCUUUCCUCGCACUAUGGUAUGGGAAUGGGACUAUUACUACUAAAGGACUCUGCUUCAUCGUAAUGCAGGUAUCCAACAUCCAUCCAGCCUUUUUAUAUUUCCCAAAUAAUGGGCCUGUUUGGAACCUGAGUUUUUUGGGAGUUUAUCUAAAAUUUUAGUGUAGUGCACUGUAGAAGUUUUUGAAAAAAUUUUGUAGAAGUUUUUGUAAGGUGAAAAACUUUUUUUCCUUUUCUCUUUCUCUUUCUUUUUCUUUCCUUCCUUUUUCUUUUCUUCUUCUUCUUCCCCGUUACCUCCGCCACCCCUAGCAGCCACCCCCUUUUCUUUCUUUUUCUCUUUCUUUUUCUUUUUCUUUCCUUCCUUUUUCUUUUCUUCUUCUUCUUCUUUCCCGUUACCUCCGCCACCCCCAGCAGCCACCCCUCUGCCCCGCCACCCCCCGCCUCCCCCUUCCACCUCUGCUCGCUUUUCCCCUCUGCCGCGCCACCUCCCUCCCCCCGCCACCAUCUCUGCCCCUUCCCCCUUUGCCCCGCCUCCCCCUUCCCCCUCUGCCCCGCCUUCCCCCUCCCCUUGCCACCACCUCUGCCCCUUCCCUCUCUGCCCCGCCACCCCCCGCCUCACCUGUUCCCCUUCCCACUUCUCACCAUCUUUCUUUUCUCUCCUUUUUUUCACAGAGAGGUGGGAGGGAAAAUGGGGGAAAUGCAGAGAAAGAAAAAAAAAGACAAUAUGGGAGGAUAGCAGGGGAGGAAGAGGGGGAGAGGGAAAAAAAUGGGAAAAAAAAAGAAGACCGGCACCGGCACCGGCACCGGAAAUCAGCGCCGGAGCCGGGGACGGAGGUGGUGGUGGGGGAGGAAGAAGAAGAAAAGGGGAGGGGAAUUUUUUUUUGUUGUGUUUUGGAUAUUUUAAGUGUGUAGAUAAAAAACUUUGGGAAGUUUUUUGGGGUUCCUGUAGCAAAAAUUGUUAAAAAACUAGUAGCUAAAAAACUUGGUAAAAAACUAGGGUGCCAAACAAGCCCAAUAUUUCGCUUACAUUAUAAACACAUUUUCCAACCCACCUUUUUAUAUUUUCAACCACCUUUUUAUCUCACAUACAUCAUAUCAUAAAAAGUGUUACAGUAAUUAUUUCAAAUAAUAUGUCAAAUAAUACUCUAUCCAAACAAAUGUUUCUCUCCUCUACGAGUAUUCGUGACUACUAAGCACCGAUGGACUAUUCAUGCCAGUACGUAGCAUAGUAAAAGGACGCAAUUUGGUUUUGAAUCCGUGGUCAAGAAAAUUUUUUUCCCUUGGCUUGGUCACCGCACUAGAGAAUCAUUGAGCUUUGGUUCAGUGGCUUUAAAAAAAAAAGGACUAAGUUUCUUUUUGGACUGUAAAUCAAGGGUUCGAACCUCGCUUACAGUGAAAAAAAUUCUAAAGAAGUGUCAAACUAUCUCUUUGAUAUAGUCAAGUAUGUAUAUCUGUGAGUCCCUUUCACAACCUCUUUAACCUUCUUUUCUUGCAGAAUAAGAUAGAUUAGGUUAUACAAAUGUUAUUGUUGAAAAAAAAAAAAAUCCAUACUAGAGAUAUCUGUCGUCGUGCUCUCUGUGAAGCCUUCUUUGGAAUCACGCAGUUAAGCCCCUUUUUUUUUUUCCUUUUCUUUUAUUGCUUUUCUGUGCAUCAUUGUUUCAUUUUUUUUUUUGGUUGGGUUAUUUUACUACGAGCUUGGUUAUAGUAAAAUUUCAAAAGGGACUGAAGUGGCCAACUUUGCUGGUGGGUUGGUAAGCGUAGUCCGAUUGGAGUGUAGCAUUGGAUUGUUGGACAGAGUUAUUAAAUUCAACCAGACCCGCCGAUUGAACCGGCUACCCCAAUGAUCCGGACAUCAGAUCGGGUCGAGUCUCUAGUUCAACUGAAUAAGAAAUUGAUCUGAUCAAAUCCGGACAAAUUCGGUUGACCUAGUGGUUCAAUCGGAAACUCGCUCAAAUUUUUAAUUGACUCGAUUUACCUUUUUUUUAAUAUAUAAUUGUGGGUCUUUGUUUUUUAAACAAAAUGUACAUAUGCUUUUGAUAAGUUUUAUACAUUGGAUCUUUAUUUAAAUAUAUAUAAAACUUUACCACUUUCUUAAUUUUUAUUUAAUAAUUUAAUUUUUUUAAUAACUUGUUUAUUUUUUAUUAUACAAUUAGUCCUUUUAACUUUUAAAUUGACAAUAUUUGAUUAGUUAGAAAUUACUUUAUUUUUAAACAAAAAUAAAAUAAUGAAAAAAUAAUGCUAUAUUUUUUAAAACAAGCGAUAUAGAUUUUGUUUUAUACUUGACUAUAUUAUUUAUUUAUAUAAAAGUACAAUAAAAUGAAGUUAAAUCUUCUAUUAAUAUCUACAUAUUUAUUAUAUAUCUUCCUGAGUAUAAUAAUUCAUAUCUAAAAACACUUUAUUAUACAUUUUAUGUAUAUUAAAAUUACUAUUUUAUAUUUAUAAAUAUUAAAUUAAUACUCACAGGUUCUACUGGUUGAACUAGUGAUCCAUUAAUCCAAUCCCUCUGCCGGUUAUUUACUGGGCCGGGUUUAGUAAGUAUGUUGUUGGGAGGAGGUAAGUGUUGUCCAAUUAGAUUGUUGGGAGAGAUUGGUAUUUUGAUUGAUUUCGAUAUUGAUCCCCUUGGCCGCGGAUCCCUAUGCACUAUAGUAUAGGAUCGGAUCAGUUGGUAGUAGACCUAGGGAAGGUCCUACCGGUUGUGUCGAAUACUGGCGUUUUGAGGCCAUUAGUAAUUUGAAUCAAACGGCAUCAUAUGGCGACACACACAUUAAGGACUACGUAGUGCUUUCCAGACUCCAGAGUCGAGGCUCCUGCUGGGAGCGGUUCCUACUUUCUACCGUAGUGUAUAGUUGCCUGCCGCUCCAGACCCCCACCCAAUUCCACUGGCCUUUUCAGAAGUGGGAUCAGAAUUGAGAUCAGGCCCUCGAGCAGGAUCUCCCUCACUUUUGCAAUUUUGAUGACAUGUCUUUGUCAUCUUUCCUUCCCCACUCUAGAGUUGCCCUUCUUCCCCCUCUUCAGGGCUUUUUGGAGUCAAAUCUGUGGUACCAGUAGUAUUUGUCUCGCUAGGACCGCUGCCAAAUUGCUGCAGCCACCGUAGUAUUUAUUGAACUUGUUUACUUUAAGUAUGGUCUUUCCUAUUUAAUGUAAAUUAUCAAACACUUCAUCCAUAUCAAUUUGAUAACCAUUAAUUCACAUAAACAAAGUUGUUUGGCACAAAACCUAUAUUUGGCAACUUAAGAAGAACUUUUGGAGCAACACAAAUUUUUUUUUUCUUGUAUUAAGAGAAGGGUAUUAUAAUUUGACAUGUACAAGCAUUUUGGGCCUAUGUUAAUUCCUAAACCGUUAAAAGAAGGAAGAUUUGUGUAGUUUUUAGAGUUUUGGGGAAGCUCUUUGUAAUUGUCAGGAGCAUUAAGGGAGGUUUUUGAAAUUAUCCCUGAAUCUAUCCUACAGUCCAUUGCAGUAAGAGGAAUGGUAAAAGACUUUGAAUGAGAGAAGGGAAAAAUCAGACGCAACCGCAUCAAUGACAGCUGAGAGGGCAGGGCAGGAGCAGGGUCAGGGUCAGGGCUCGGGGCUGUAAGGUCCAGUCCCCAUCAGAAUCGUCCCUUUGUGCCGUGAAAUCCGGACUGCAGUCACCCCCACUUCCCCUCCCCUGCCCGGUGGUGCCCCAGCUCCCAAAAUCAUCCCUCCAAAGUCUAAACAAAGAAAAUACCUGGGUAUCGAUUCCUUCGCCUCUCAAAGGAUCUUGAGAUUUCCAUUUUCCACUGGAGCCAUUCUUUUAUUUUUUUGUGCAAUCUGUUUGUUCUUGAAAGGUUCAUAACCUGAACACUUGCUUGUGUAGUAGGGGUAGUAUGUUGACAACGAUAGGGAUACUGGCCGUAAGUAACGUAUCAGCUAAUAAUGCCAAUGCGCAUAAAAAUUCUCUCAGGUCCUUCCUGCAACAAAAAUUCUUUAGGCUGUAGAGUUAGAACUAGAACCCCCUCAGAAGUACACGAUGCUCUGACGCAUUAUAUUUGUGGGUUUUGAUUUCCUUUUCUUGUGAAUUCUAUAAAGACCUCUUUGGGGUGUAGAAUUAUACUUAAAGCGUUAUUUUUAAAGAAUUUCUUUUUGGGAAAAAAAUACCCCCAAAGGAAAUGGGAUUUUUUUUUUCUCAAAAAGGAAAUGGGAUUGAGGUGCUUCAAAUUUGCAUCUCGAGUUUGGGGUGGAUGCUGUUGCGGUUUGCUUUAGGAAUCUGAAGGACCCCUCUAGCCUUUAGUCUAGUAAAAUGCAGCCAGUUUUGCAGAAAAUGGUUAAAAGGGUCAUUGAAGCUAGGAAAUAACUUUCCAGUAGUAGUGGUAAUACGCUAAAACAGGAUAAGAAAUCGGCAGUGAAAGAAAGAAAAUUGAGAUGGUAAAAAAGGGACCACCUCCCAAAUUACCCAAUCGGGGGCAUCAAAAAUUGCAGUAAACAUGACUGUGGAAUAAUCUACAGUGCAUAUUGAUUGCUUUAUAAUACUACUACAAUAUUUUGUGCUAUACAGCUCCUAGUUGUAGAAAGAAAGGAUGUAGUAGAAAUUUUGGCUAUGUUUUGCAUAAUAGCUAAGAAAGAAUAAAAAAAAAAAGUUGAUUCAGUUUAGAAGAGCGAACCGUAUGUUCGAAUUUUGUUGUCGACGUGAGAGUUGUGUUAAUAGACGAUUUGUAAGAAUUUUUAUAAAGGAUUUUAAGGCCUUGUUUGGAUUGCCGGUUUUCGUCGAAAAAUUAUAUCGUUUUCCGUGAUCACAUUUCCUUAUUACCUUUUUCUCUCACAUACAUUAAAUCGCUACAGUAAUUUUUUCAUAAAAAAUCACGAAAAAUGUAAUCCAAAUACAUUAUGCUUUCGAAAUACGUUCUGGUUCGUACCGACGACGAUGACUGAAGCCGAAUUCAUCCAAUUUUAUUUUUUAUUUUUAUAAAAAUUAAAAAGAGCUAAGAAAGAAAGCACGUAGUAGAAAUUUUGGCCAUGUGAGAGUUGUAUAAAAUCGCUGAUGCUAGUAGUACUUCUACAUCUGGAGGCUCAGAAGCCUGCUCCAACAUUUACGUCAUCACAUUCUUUUGGCGCGUCACUCAGCCAUCCGGGAAACAUAAAAGAGAAACCGCUCGUCUCCGGUCUCUGCUGCUACUAGCCCACUCUCUUUCUCUCUGGGUCUCCACCCCUCAUUUCUCUUCUUCGCACGCCCACUUCACUUCACUUCACUCCAAAGUCCAAGUCCAGCCUUCAGAGAAUUACUACUCCAUCCAUCGUUUCUUCAUCAGAGAGAGAUACCUCUUUUCUUGCCGAGUGAAAGCAUGCAGUGCUGGGAUUUCUUCUGUAUCCUACCCUGUAAGUUCAUUUUCUCUCUUGUUUCCUCAUUUUCUUCUUCUUUUUUUUUUUCGAAAAAAAAAAAGAAGACACUUGGGUCUUGUUUGUGGAGAUAUAUGUUUUGUUUUCUGAUAUCAAGAUUGAUAACGUGUGCGGGUUUUCUAUGGCUACAUUAUGCUUACUGGCUAGAGAGAUGCAACGGAGUAGUGUUUGCUGUGAGGGCCAUCUGUUCGGAAACUCCUUUUCUUCAGUUCCAGUUAUUCUUCAUGGUCCCGGCCCAAAAAAAAAAAAAGAAAGAAAGAAAGGAAUUAAAUCAUAUGGUAGUAUAUGUUUUUAGGACCAGCUUUGAAUUUGCCUUGACGAGUUGUCUUUUUUUUUUUUUGGGGUGGCUAGGACAUAUUAGUAGUAGUUCUGGUACAUCUGUUGAGUCGGAGAAAUUCCUACUAUCACGUUAGAUAAAGAUUUGAUUUCCUUAUUCCCACUGUACGGAGAACAAAGUAGCCCUUCUCUUUUGUGGCAAAACUUUUAAUUAUGCGCAUCAUGUUAUGCUAACUCUAAGCAAGUCGUCUACCCUGCGAUAUAUAUAUGUUGCUGGAGAUUUUCGUAUUGUUCAUUCCUGACACUAGCAAAAUAUAUACAUAUGCAUAUAUAUAUAUUUGUUCAUGUGGGCAGCACAUUUUCUGUUCCCGGCUACUUUAAAUUUUCUGGGAUGCUUCAGAUCGACUGCUUUAAAUUUCAUCCGUGCCUCUAAUGUAGUAGGUGAUUUAGUUAUUGCAGAUCAGAUAUCGAUUAGCCUUGCUCAAUAAGUAAAUUAAAACCGUGAUGGUUAGUCUCCAAUCUACAGUUUUCAGCAUGUUAUCGUGUAGCAACAAUCUGUUUGCUUUUGGGAAUUCACGAUGCAACUUGAAACAAAAUUCAGAUCUAGGGAGAGUUAGGAAUUCAUAUAACUAAUUGUUCAGAUCUGAGGUCUGUGGACUAUAAAACUCCAAACAUUUGUUUUCUCCGUGACAAUCAGUCGAGCAUGCUACUUUCAAUAUGGUUGAAUCGCAACAAUUCUGUUUAUGUUUGCACCGGCACUACAAUUCUGCUCAUGCUUCAUUAGCUGUGUUUGACUGAGGGUAAAAUAAUGCCAAUAUUUAUUCCCUCUGCAUUGACCAGACACAUGAUUAAGAGUUUGUGGCCAGGGGCAGUGGUGUUUACACCUGGAAAUUAAAGAGGGGCAAACUGAAGAAGCUGCUUUGUUGCUUGCUUCUACGAGACAGUAUGGCCCAAGAAAGUGGCGCCUGAUAUCUCAAUGCAAAGCAUUGUUAUCCGUCUUCAGGCCAAUUAGCACGUAAAGUAAUUGGAAGAAGAAAUUUGCAGCUGAAGUCUUUGGCUGAACUGCGUGGGAAGUUUUUAUAAUAGAAGCAGCAAAGAGGACACUCAGAUAUUAGCCGGCUGAGGAGGGAAAAAUACAAUAAUCAUUUUUUGGAGACUUUUACUGAGAAACAGCUUAAAAAGCAUAGUGUCGAAGAAUUUCUCAUGGCUACCUCGAGCGGCCAGUUUGUCUGUACUGAUCCACUUGCUCCUCCUCCCCCAGUAUUACUUCCUCCAUGGCUUUCAAAUUCUACGUCCGGUGUGCCUGUUAGGCCAUCGUCACCUUCUGUGACCUUAAGCCUUUCACCUUCAGUGGUUCCACCACCACCACCAGGAGCAGCAUGGUUGCAGCCUGAUAGAGCAGCAACAGACGAUAAAAAUCCUGUCUCGAACAGUUUGCCAUGUCUUGGGAUGGUGCCUCCUCCCCCCUCCAGAGAGAAGGCCGCGGUGGUAUCUGAACUCUUGGAAUGCUGCAAAGAAUUGGAAGAAAUGCAGCGUGCUUGGGCAGUGCACAAGAAGGAAGCAGCCUGGAGGUUGAGGAGGGUAGAGUUACAGGCGGAAUCGGAGAAGGCCUGUAAGAGGAGGGAGAAAAUGGAGGCAAUAGAGGCAAAGGUGAAAGCACUGAAGGAAGAGCAGAAGGCUACUCUGGAUAGGAUUGAAGCCGAAUACAGGGAGCAGCUAGCUGGAUUAAGGAGGGAUGCAGAGGCCAAGGAGCAGAAGUUGGCUGAGCAGUGGGCGGCUAAGCACUCACGUCUAACUAUGUUCCUUGAACAGAUGGGGUGUCAAUCAAAAUUUGUCGAGCCCAACUGCUGAUAAAAAGGUUGCUUUGCCUCUGCUUCGGUAGAGCUACCUUAAACCUUGCUUUGCAGUUUGCCCUCUGCUUCUGUAGACCUACCUUAACCUUGCUUUGCAGUUUGCCCUCUGCCUGCAAGACCCGUACGUUUCUGUCAUAUUGUUCUUUGCAUAUUGCCAACUUGGUUGACAAUAUUCGUUGGGUUAGUGAUUUUGCACCUCUAUUCAGCUAUUGUAACCGUUGGGUCAUUUCUUGAUCUUGGUUUUCUGCAUUGGUCUUCUGUAUCUACUUUGUUUAUUUGAAGAACCAAAAGGUUGGCUGAUCCUUCACCUUUUGUCUUUACAUUACAUGUUGCGCAUAUCAUGGCCUACGUCCUACUCUUUCCACACAAUUCCCAAACCCCAAAAACCAAAAACAGCUGCUUCAUUCAUACCAAAUAGUGAUAUGCACACGUACAACUGUGCAUCUACUACUAGAAGCUAUAACAUGCACAGGAUGAUGAGGGCGGUCUGUUUAAAUUUAAUGAAAGGAACAGCAACCAAAAAUAGACUAAAAUUUAAAAAAAUUAGCAACAAUUACUACGCGGAUCCAGUAACUAUCUAACCUCCGCCAGACUAAGAAAAGCUUUUAACAUGGUAAGUACGGGAUAAGAUUCCCAACAAUUCUUCUGUCUUCUUCAGUUUCGGAGUUUUAUGCAUCCUGAAAAAGAAAAAGCGAAGGAAGAAGACCAUUGGUCUUGGUCGGGCAAUUAAAUGAUUAAUUGCAAAAUAAAUCUACAUCUAUUUUCUAUACAUAGAUUUCUCCAAUAAGUACCAAAUGGUUCGAAAUAGAAAGCAUUGAAUUGAAGGAUUUGCAGGCAUACGUAUUUAUAUAUCCCGUUAUCAUUAUUAAAAAAAGCGAUGUGUGUGAUUGUUCCUCUUAACCUAGCAAGGCAUUGAAGAAUUGAAUAAAGGUUCCCAAAUGUAAAAUGCUUGAAUUGGUAGAAAAGCCCCCGCAGGUCCUGGUUUAUGAACUCGCAAGUCAUCAUGGGGGCCGGGGGGACAUGAUCUCUUCACACAAAUUUGCUAAACCAAACAAAUAAAGAAAAGAAAAGAAAUUAAUGUUGUCUACAGCCUCAUCAGUUUUUUGAGUUUUACUUGAGAAGAUUGCAAGUACUUCCUAUGUUAUUUCCCUGCAUUACAAUGUCAGCAAUUCCUUUCAGUUCCGAAUUGGGUAAGUUGGACGACUCCCGCGUCCGCCUUAUUGGCCUCAUCCACACAAAAUACUCUUAAUUGUCCUUGAAUAAGAAAGAUUUUUAGGAAGGUGAAAACAAAACUUAGAUUGUCAUCAUCCUCCAUAGGUUCCGCUGAAGUACUUGACAGUAUAAAACACUACACAAUUUUGUCAUGAAAAGAAAAUGGAUAUGUGUGUGUAUCACUCGCUACUGCUAUUGCCGUUUGCCUCUAUUUAUUUGUCUCAAAAAAGACCUGGAGGAUCAGGCUCAAACAGAAAGUGAGAAUAAUCCACAAGGUCUUCUUCAUCUUGUUGAUUAUUCACGUUGCCGUCACCGCCCAAACCUUGGCUAAAAAUUUCGACCACCUCCAUUUCUUUAUCCGUCCACCGAUUCAUCGCUGCUUCCUUAUUAUCUGCAUUUGCAUUCCCAAUCCCACCUUGCUGUAAUGGCGGCUCCGGGAUAAUGUUCCCUGCACCUUCCUGAGUUUUUGAUGAUGGCUCCGCAUUUUGGCGGGCAUGUUGAGAAGGCUCGCCGCCGUUCAUCACCUCACCAUCAAUCUCUCCAGGACUAGUUCCAUUUUGAUAGCGAAUGGGGCCUGCUGUCGUUUGGGGAUGAAUCCUAAUUUUGGUUUCUUCCUUCUGGAAACCCUUGAGAAGGUUUUCGUGGGCAUCAAGAAGGAAAGCCUCAACGCUAAGCUUCUUGUCCUCUUCUAUGAUCGCCGCCUCGUGGGUUGAUGGGGGCAAGUUCAUGAGGUUUGCAUAUGCGUCAUCGAAAAAUUCUUUCACUCCUGAUUGAUCUUUAGUCUUCAUCCCUGUACGCCAAGAAACUGGGAAGAUUCUUCUUUUCUUGGAUUCGGAACCAACAAUACUAGUAUUGUAUUUCGGUUUCUUGUGGUUUCGGUGUAGUGAUGCUUCAGAUAAUUUAAGCAGUUGAGGACCCUGCAAUACCAAAUCCCAUACAUUUUACAAAGUGAUUGAAACUCCUCGAGGCAAGGCAAGACUAUGUAAAUCUAAACCUAGUUUAUAUACAAGUAAAGCUGUGAUAUAUACAAGUAGCAACCCGAUCAACUCACCUGAAGCUCCUGAGCAUUGGUCUCCUUCUCGAUAGAUGUUAUAGUGUUGUUGCUUCUGAUGAAGUUGAUGACCUCAACUAAAGAUCGAAACAUUCUUUUGCACGUUGGAUGGAAAUAAAACUGCAACAGAAAUAUGUUUCGUCAUUUCUGUAUAUCCAUAAAUAUAUAUAUAUAUAUAUUUAAAAAAAAAGCUUUCUAUUUCUUCCUUCCUUUUUUUUCUUAAAAAAGGAAAGAAGAAAAUCAGAAAGAGGGAGAGAUCGACAUGGAAAGCCUAGCAAAUAAUCGAAUUGGCAGCGCUAGCUGGUACCUUAUCUUGUGCACCACUGGGACGUUGUCUUGUCUCCCUUUUCCAAUUUCUGAGAAGAGCAGGGAAUGGUAAGAUGCGGUCAUAAAAAGCCAUGCCUGGCAUUGUUUCUUCCAUCUCAGGAGCAGAUCCAACCUACAUAUAUAUAUAUAUAUAUAUAUCGCAGCCGCAUACUCUAUAUGAGUUGAGUUUGAAUCAUGCAUUUUCAAUAUUUCUCUUUUGACUUUUCAGACGGCUAGAAGCAAAAGGGACUAAUUAAACUGCAUGACAUUAAUCACCUCGUACAUCCCGAAAUCAUAACCAACUGGAUCUUCACGACUUUUAAAACAGUUGAAGGAAACAUAUGAAACUGAAACAACCUUUGUCUUGGUUAGACAUCCUCCCCUUCUUGUCUUCUGUUCUUGAACAAUUACAGGCUGCAGCUGUUCAUAUUUCUCAAUUGAUGUUAGAGACGCAGCAUUCAUGCACGGAUUUUUUUUUAAAACUCAUAAACCUCUUAAUACGAACUGUUAAAAGACGCAAAGAGUGAAUAGAUGUCAUGCAACAGCGCUAGAUACAGACCACGUACGUAGAUUGUAAACCACUACAAAUACUAAGGCUUUUGAGAACAUAAUUAAAACCCUUCUCUAUACAACUACAUAUAGUAUAUAACCUGAGGCUGAGGUCUCGCGGCAUUUUCAGGCAAAUUAACAGAUUGAGGAUUUGGCGCUAGCACAAUUGCCUUCUCCAAACCACCACAGGCCUGCGUCCCUUCUUGCACCGGUGAAUCGAAGUUCUGCAGUUGUGAAACAGUAGAAUCCAGUUAAAGAACUAUCAGCGUGACACAAAUUUUCAUGUCAAAAUCGAAUCGUAAAUGCUUGAGAAUUUAUCAAGCUAGACGAAACAAAACAGUAAAAGCAUGGUUUUUUUUUAAAAAAAAAAUUUUCGACUUAUAAACCUUUUAAUACAUAUAUCUGCACUACAAACUGUUAAAAUAUGCAAAGAGUGCAUAGAUGUCACGCGACUGGUGCUAGAUACACACCACCGAGAUUGAAAACCACUACAAAUACUAAGACUUUUGAGAACGUAAUUAAAGUCCAUCUCUAUACAACUACAUGUAGUAUAUAACCUGAGGCUGAGGUCUCGCGACAUUUUCAGGCAAAUAAACAGAUAGAGGAUUUGGCGCUAGCACAAUUCCCUUUUCCAAACCACCACCGGACUGCGUCUCUUCUUGCACUGGUGAAUCGAAGUUCUGCAGUUGUGAAACAGUAGAAUCCAGUUAAAGAACUGCUAGCAUGACACAAAAUUUUCAUCAUAAAUGCUUGAGAAUUUAUCAAGCUAGACGAAACAAAACUGAAAAUGCAUGGUUUUGUUCAAGAGAAGGAAGAGGAAACAAUUACUUUAGCACCACAAAGGCCGAGGUAUGGAGUAAUCUCCCAACCAGCUGUUGCUGUGAUUUCGGAGGAGUUGUUAUCAGAGCUUGAUGCCAUAUCUUAACUGAGGCUGAGGGCGAACUAAUGAUGCUCCCGAGAGAUGAUUAGAGAUUUUGUUGGCCAAAUGGAGAUGUAAAGAAGAUGAUUAGGACUGUUUUUUUACUGAGCACUGAUUCGUGCAUAUCAAAGCUGGUUUAUGGGGCUAGGUUUAUAUAGUGCUAAUGGGAAAGAGUGCAGCCCCCGGAGGUUAAGAUGUGCAUGCACUGACACAUACACAAUAAGCAUUUUUUGGUAUGUGAAUUUUAGGUCUUUCCUAUUCUGUCCUGUCAUAAAAAUCAUCCUGCAAAUGUCUGGAUGAGCCAUUAAAGCUCUACUUUUAAAGAGAUUCUCGCUAUUAUUACAUCAAAAUAUCAUGUUGGAGUCGUAGAUUUUAGAGCUCUCUUACCAUAUUAUAGGCCCUGGAGAAAAUCUCUCACCGAAAUUGCUUUAAUUGUUGGUUUUAUUCAUGCUGUCCCCUCAAGGCUCAAGAAUUGAGAAUUUUUACUCAAUUGUUGUGUAAAAUGGUCUAUUAUAGGCCAUGGCCAUAUUAUAGUUUACCCAAGAACAAAAAAAUCCUCCCUCUUUAAAUUGAGAAUAAGAAGAAAACUCUUUAUCUGUUGCCAUGAUAUACGUUGUAAAUAUUGGUUGUGUUCGUAUUCUCUACGCUCAAUUUCUCAAACUUAAAAAGCGCACGCAAGCACUCCGAACGAAUUGUUUGGCCUUGAUCAAAUGCAACACCUGAAGUUGGUGCCUCUUCCAAAAAAUCGUUUCCGAACAAUAACAAUAAUGCUUCUGCCCAUACAGAAGAGUCAUAGACUACCAUACAGCUUAACUUGAGAGCGCGAGCGUUUUUUUUGCCCCCCCAUUUGCCUUUGCUAGUUUUGGUUGUCUCAAAAUGUGUCUACAAAAUUUAUAGGCCUAAUUUGGAUGAAUAAAGUGGAUGUUGGCAUAAUUCGUAUCACAAAUUUGAUCAGGAAACGAAGGCGACAGCAUGAAGUUUGACAGGAGGGCAUCUUAUUUUAUCUCAAAAAUUAGUGGCGGCUAAGAUAUAGACGCCAGAACCAGCAUCGCUCCUAACCACCUCCAAAAACAUAUAAAAUAAAAUGGAAAGAAGCAAAACUAAAUCAAUGGAGAUAUCAGAGAGUGCAUACACAUUGGACGGCAAGAAAGUACAAUAAAAAUGAGAUCAAACGACCAGUCUAGCUAAUUAGUAAAUAUUAACCACUGCAGCCUUGAGCGAAAUUUAUCGGCGGACAAAAUCCGAAAUGGAAUAUUAGCAGACUCUAACAUAGAAGUUUUUGCAUACGUUCUGGAACAAUGAAAUUAUGAAUUUCAAAUUAACCAAUUUGUACAUCUCAACGGUACAAGCUUUCAGUGAGAGGCAUUAACUCUUCUACAAUUGAGUCUUGCAAAAGUUAGUCAUCAAAGGGCAGGUACGCUACAAAGAACCUCAAUCCAUGAAAACCGCUCCAGAGACCGAACUUGCACGAGUAGCAGUCGAGAAUUUAAUGCAGCUCGUGCCAAUAUUUUCCUCCAACUUUUCCCAUGGAAUGUUCUGCUAUCGAAAGCCAGAACCAGGUUUAUCAAACCACAGAACAUUACAAGCACAACCAAUCUGCAUGCAGCUAUCAUUCCUGGCCAAGCUAACAAAAGAGAGGAGACUGAUGGAAGCUUAAACAUCCAACUCACAAGAUCUCCUUUUCAGUCCUCUUACUGCACUAAACACGUACACCAUCCGGUUCCUUCUGCUCCUCUCGGCCGUGAAAUGAAAAAUAGCUCUCCUCGCAGAGUUAUGCACCUUUAGUACCAUCAAUGUUCUCAGUAAUAAAACCUCUGCAGACAUCUAUAUACUUGCCAUGCAACCACAAUUUUAGCCCAAGCUAAUGAAAACUUGCACAAUCCAAGUAUCUCUCUCUCUCUUUGAGAUCAGCCGGCCAAUAAAUAUCAGUAGCCACAAGAGCAGCCCAAAGGCUGGUUAAACUAUUAAGUACAGAAAAAGCACAAUAAACAUAGAAAAGAUAAUUUAUACACGAGGGUCUAUCUGUACAAUUGGGUAUAGAAUCCAAGAAUAUAGCUGACUGCUAUUACCACCAUUAAGUGACAGUAUCAACUCGCAGCAACUGGUCCAAGUUACCUGUUAAGAGACCAGUAUGUGAGAGAGAUGCAAUGUCUUGGCCAUGAAAAAGCUUUAGAUAAGCUGUCAUGAGAAAUAACAUGCGUAAUUAAAACUUCUGAGGCAGACCAGUGUGAUUGUAUUCUUCCUAGAUUGCCUUCUUUCCAUGAGUGCAAAUAAACGAUGAAAUAAAUCAACCAAGAUAUACACGCAUUUAAGCCAUAUCUCCAUUUAGGACAAGAUACCACAUAGAGAAAAUCCAUUUGUAAAACAUUUAAACUUUCUGACAUAAAUCCAGCAUUAUUCUCCACCUCCUUCCUCCUCCUCUUUUUUUUUCUUUUUUAAACAAAUUACAGGAAAAAAAGCAUUCUUUGUUCCAAUAAAUUCACUAUUUCACACGAAAGCAAAUUCAUUAUUUUACAGAAAAGCAAAACACACUAGAUGAACUCUUCUAAAUAGUUUGUGGCGGACUUGUAUAGUUUAGAGUUGCUCAAGAACAUGCACAACUCCAACAGGACCAUUAUUUUGGUUCUACCUGCUCUCAGUUAAAUUACGUGUCACAACAACAGAAAGAAAUCAGACAAUUUUCAAAUAUAAUAAUCAGACUCAUCGUUUCUCCAACAUGUAGAUCUAUACACGGGCACACAAACACAUGCACACCAAAAAAAAAAUAAAAGAAAAUGAGAGAAACAGCAACACCCCACCCAAAAAACAUAAAUACUCCAUGCUGCUAGAAGUGAUAUGAAAGGCUACUUCUAUCCCCAAACGAAAAGUUGUAAUGCUUCUAAAUUGUCAGUGAAACACAACUAACCUCUGCAAUUUCAUUGAUCAAACCAUACCACCAGAAAUCAGUAGUUCGUCUGCAUUUUAUCCUAACUUUGAAAUUUGGGAACUCAAAUAACUUAGGCAUCUGGCAGCAAGAUUAAGAACUUAAUCUUCCUGUAAAUUGAAAUUAGAAGCUGAUUAAACAAUUAAUUAUGAUUGACCUGUAUCUAAAAGAGUAUUAUAAAGAAGCAGAGCAUCAAGGCAACGAUUUAAGUUCCAUGUCAGACCUUACUUGUUAUUAUUAAGAACUUCAAUCUAAAGCAUGAAAAAAGAACCAAUAGUUGUUUGACGAAGCACCUUUGAACUACGAUCAAGGCCAUGAGAAGCAACCUAGACCACAAGAAAAACAUAAAAUCAGCGUAUCAAAACAAACAUUAGGUAAUUCUCUUUUCCUUUUCCCUUCUUAUUCUCAAGAAUUUCAACCAAGACAAGCAUUAGACUGUAAGUGAGCAUGAUCUAAAUAAGAAAGAUAUAUGAACUUCAACCAAGACAAGCAUUAGACCGUAAGUGAGCAUGAUCUAAAUAUGCAAACUUCCACCAUCGUAUUUGAUGUCUGUAUACUGCAGGCAUGUCAUAUAAAAUGUUAAAAAAUCUACGAGGCAAGGACAAUAGCUAAGUCCAUGAGAGUCAAGAUACUGUUAAGCGGAUGCCUGCAUCCUAUAGAUGAAAGGAGGGAGACAUCAAAUCAAGCGAAUAAACCAGCAAAUUAUUGUGAGUAGGAAUAUAUGUUAAACUGCACAUAGUUGCUUCCUUUCCCACUCCUCUCUUAUCCUACUUAAAGACCAAAUAGCAUUAGAUGAAAAAUUCACUUCCCUCUCCUUUCUUAUCCCAUCACAUUACAAACAGGACACAAAGCUCAUAUAAAAGGCAUAUCCAUGUGGUUCCCCCCUUUUAUGCUCAAUCUUAUAGCAUGUUACCUCAAAGCUGAAAAGUUGAAGUCUAAGGUCCCAAAGGAGAUGGUUCAUGGACUGCCUAAUGAGCGCUUAAGUUCAAAAUUGGGGCACAACUAAACAAAAAUCAUGAUCAAAAGCAUAAUGUAAAACUUAUUUUACCAUAUGGGUCAGAGCUGCAUAUCGUUCCUCACUCAAAUACAAUGGCUUGCCGCGAUGCAUCUCUUUAUCCUGCAACAUAUGAAGGGGAAAAACAUAUGACAGAUGGAUAUUGGUGUUCUAAGGAAAAUUAAAGCACAAAGAGUCUCCAUUUCCCCCAGCAAGACAUAUCUCCCAAAAUGACAUUAUUGAGAAGUGAAAUGCAUUUAUAUCCUAACAGCAAAAAGAGACGUAGCAUCUAUCUAGAAAUGAAAGAUUAAUCUCAUCCUUGUGCCAGGUAUCAAGAAUUUACUCAGUCUUGGAUGCUAAUGAACUUGGAAAUUCCUCGAGGACAACUGUAAUACUCUUUCAACACAGAUAUAUAAUCACACAGUUUAACAUCCACUUAUUGAUUGAUUCAUCCUGAUAUGGCUAAGAAACAAAUUUUCAAAUACUUCAUAGAAAAGACUACUCAGUUUGGGCUUAAUAGAGGCAGCAGAAUGACACACACAAUACAACCCCUCCACAUUUUCUUGGGUUAUCCAAAAAAAAGGAACUGCAAAUUUUAAGGGACGUACAAAGAAAAGUUGGAGCAGGUUACUAACCACAUAAUUUUAUGAUUAUAUGGGACAAACCACUAAUUUCAUGAAUAACAAUUACUCUAAGAAUAGAUUAUACCUCUUGGGCAGUUUUGCAAUACCUCAACAUUUGCUUUUAUGCAUGUAUGAGCACUAACGCACACAUGCAUGCAUGUUUGUAAGGGAAUAGAUUCAUACACACAUAUGAUACAUAGAACUUAGCAUUAUUUAUCAACAUACUUAGUAACUGGCCUCUGCACCACUUGCAAAUCCUUAGCCAAUACUAUCACCAUAAAUAGAACCAAUUAGUACCAUAGGGCACUUGUUUAAAUUAAAAUCCAUUGUUACAAGCAAAAUUUUCCAAGAUUCAUUCCCUUACAUUAGAUAAUCUCCAUUGGACAUGUUUAAAAGUUCAAGUACAUCAAAUUCACAAACUUUCUUGGGUCAAAUUAAAAAAGCUAAUGUUGAAUAAGAAAUCAACCAUCAAACUGCAACAAGUCAAGUAGAAGGUACCAAUCUACAAAAGCAAUAAGUGAUAGUUCAAGUCUGCACAGAAAACGCUUCAUGUUACGUGGCAACAUACAAAAUAAAGCAUGCUGCUAAAUUAGUGACCAACUUCUGUUUUAUAUGGCAUAGAAGAUUCUAUAGACUAUCUUAUAACAGUGUUCACUUGAAGAUCUUACAAUUCUUAUGCAACGAGUCUUCAAGAUUAUAGUUUACCUCUUCGCCAAAAGCAUCUAAGUAGGGGGAUGGCCAAGGAGCCUGACGAGCAGAUCUUUGAAGUAGAAUUGAGGUUUUCUAGGUCAACAACAUAAGCUUGUCAGUCAUAAUCAGAUACUGCAAGAACAAAUCCUAAUAGUCUUCAUGACCCAUGGAAAGUAUGCAACAUACUCUAAUCAACAGGAAUACUCCAGUGCCAGCACCACAGCCCAUUGCAUGAGUUUGGCAUCCACUUUCCCUACAUAAGACAAGAUAGAAAAGGCAGCAUUAACAUGCAAGUUACUCAGCAUCAGAAAAAUGAAACAGCAAUCCACGCAAGCUGGUGUCAGACCUGCAGCAUGGUUUCCAGUUUGGUGAGCACAAUUUACCACACAGUAAGCAAAGUGCAGGCUCUUCUAAAGCAGCUCCGCAAUCAGGGCAAUGCUGCUUAAUAUACCUGAUGUAUCAAAAAUAGAAGUGACUACCAGAUUCUUAAGGAGCAUAACCAAACACUUUCCACAUGCAUGUUCAAUAUAAAGUAACCUUUCCAACAGAUCCUGGUAUAAAUAAGGCAACACCAUCAGGCUAAAUGGGACAGCUGGUGUAGAGUAUAGUACACACUGUCCUUUAAUUUUGAACUCCUUUGAGAAAUGAUGCAGCCAUCUCAAAGCCAUGGAUCGUGAUAUUUCAUCAUUAAUGACAACAUCAAUUGGAGGAAUCUUAAACAUCUUCUCCAGCUUUUCUACCCCAACAAACUCAAUUAUGUUGUUUUGAUGAUCCAACAGAUCACCAGCCACAUAUGAUGAUCCAUAAGGGGCAUCAUUACCAUGACUAAAUGGCAGUGACGCUGAAGAAUUUAUUAGCCUCCACAGAAGUGCACAUCUCCGGAAAUAAGGAAAGCUCAGGCUGCGAAUGGCAUCCUUGAUAUCAUAAGAAGCAUCAAUAUAGUUGGAAUCAAAAUAUUGCAGAGCAAUCUCAUGUUCACCCAUGAAUUUACAGAUGUCAGUAAUCAGGCAAUCCUUGUAUCCUAACUCAGUGAUACUGAAGUGUUGCUUUCUGCAGCACACAAUUAUUGCCUGGCAAAAGAUAAACUAUUAACAACUUUGAUGAGUAAUGUGAAAAUAAAAUACUAGCCGUUCAAACAUAAGAAGCUAUUUACUACCUGAGCAAUGGUCACAACAUAAAAGAGAUGCACAAGACACACAAAAGAUUUCUCGCAUGACAAGAAUGGGCUUGGAAGACAGAACAGUGUCCACAUUAACGAGGAAAAAGCAUCUCGUGCAAGGACAGGAUCAGAAGCCCUCUUCCAUAAUUGGGUAUCUGGAUAUUGUGCAUCUGUUUCUGAAUUUUCUAAUAUGUACCGCAUAUUACCUGCACAGUCAACACCAAUACCAUAAUUAUGAGAUUAAUUUUCAAGUAUGUACUGCAUAGUACCAGCACAGCCAACACCAAUACCACGAUCACUCCCAUAACUACUAAAACAGACAAGAAUAAGAAAGAUGUUUGCCAAAAUGUUUCAAAGUAAAACAUCCUACAAUCAUACCAAUCUUUUGACACUCAACUAAAAAAAUAGCAAUAACUCGAAGGGACUAUUAUUACAAGUCAAAAACCUUAUACUUCCCAGAUUCAUGGGGCACUAAAGACAUCCAUUCCACACAGAUAAAGAAGAUUUUGUAUCAAUUUCAUUUCACUGGAUAAGUGUUGAUAGAAAUCUCUUAGAUGGAAUUCUAAUAUAAAAUCUAUAAGCCAAAGAACAUUAUAGAUGCACAUUCUAAUAUAAAAUAAAUGAAAAUUAUCAUCCAUUAAGCAAACAUGAAAAGGAAAUGGAUACAGAAAGUAAAAAGGGGAGGUUUUUCUUCCAACUUCAAGACAGCCAAACUAUAGAUGGAAUCUACCAUAAUUCUAAACGUCCAACUCUUGCCAGGAAUAGUUUUUGACGAUGGUGUAGAACCCAGGAUAGAGAUGAGAAGCCUUCUCGAGGGAACACCGAGAAGGAAGAUAGAUGCCAGAUUGGAGUCAGGAAGCAUUCCACAAAUACCACUCUAAUCAGAAAUAACUCCCAUAAAAUAACAAGUUUGCUAAGUUGCUUCUAGUCUCAAUUGACAAAAAUUGUGCAUAUGGACAGGUUCAAGUUGAUAUAACUGUGCGACAACCACCAUAGAAGCACCAAACCUUACUCAGGGAAGACCACAAAGAAACAUAAAGGACCACAAACUUCACAUGACAUUAUUAAACAACUAUUCUGAUGCUAAUUCUAAAAAGAUAUUUGAAUUUCAUUUUUUUUACUGCAAAAACCAUCAGAGAUACUAUAUUACGUUAAAAUUCAUCUGUUAAAUACUUCAAGUACAUAAAUGAAAAUCAGCUACCAUAUAUAAGAACAAAAAUCACCAGCUGAAAUAACAGUAAGUCAGAGACACAUCUGAAAAGGAGUUUACCUUCUCCAUGGCAAUUAUGUGCAGGAAAUUUGUCUAGGGAUAAUCCAGAUGAUAUAGACUUUGCAAAGAGCUGGAUGCCUCUCAAUCUUAGCAAGAUGCUAGGUGAAUUCUUUACUCGAGAUCCUAGAGCAAUAUUUAGCAACAAGGAUAAAAUAAAUCCAUUGGAGGAUUUGAGUUCACCGAAUAACACAUUAAGGCCAUAGGUUGGACUUAAGGAAGUUUUUCCCGACCGAGCAGCAAUCUCUGUUGAGACAAUAGAGUAUUUCAGUGUAUCCCACAAAACCAAUGACUGGCUGAUCCUGCCAGAGUCUGAAAUCUUGUCCUUGCCAGGGAAAUACAGUUUACAUAGGACACGAAACACAGAUUCAAGAUUGGACCUUUGCCUUCCAAAUUGCUGCAAAGGAAUAGAUUUGAGAAUCUCACUGUUUCCAGAAACAUCAGCUGCACUUUGCAAAAGAGACCAUGCUUCUUGAACUUGAAGCACAUCCACUUCUCUGCAUGAUGAGGCUGGAAGACCCACAGCAUAUGAUGCAUUGGCCGUUGAGAAAACAGGCGACACAGGAACCUUUUUGGAACCUUUAGCUAAGGCUGGCAGGACAGAAUUUGCAAGUCCACGACAUACGGGACAAAGGAACUCCCCCUAGUGACACAGAGCACCAACACUGUAACUACACAAUCAUUCUCUUUGAAAUAAGAACAGACAGGAAGACAGAGAAUACCUGAUCGGGGUCUACAAUGUGCCCUCCUUCAAAAACAAUUCUUCUGGUAUAUCUGUCCAAACAAAAUGUAGAUUGAUUAUUUUGGGCCCUAGUGGAACCCCACAAAUUACCUUGUCCACAAUCUCAGUCAGAUUCUGAUUUGCAGUAUCCACAUUAAAAUAUGCUAAAAAUUCAAUUGGGUAAACCUAUGUUGCCAACGCUUAAUGUAGUUUACUCCAUCCUGAGCUCAUGUCCCUCUUCAAAUUUACUACUCCUCUGUCCCUAAAUUAGAGACGCUUUUUGAAGUUACAAGUUUUUAUCCAGAAAGCAUCAUUUGGUAUUUAUCUGUGUUCUUCUGUCAACAUUGCCAUCAUUGAAAAUAGCACCAAGUCAUAUUGAAUCCAAGAAAUUAUACUUGUGGGUCGCGUCUCAAGUGUAGAUGAAAUGAAAAUAUGGUACUCACCAAGGGACGUGAAACACGCACAAAAAGUAGACACCAGAUUUGGGUCUUGCGUAGUACGCACCUAACUAAUUUGCACAUGGGAACUUCUCUGAUGGGUCCCACGUGAAUGACUUUAGCCCAUUUUCAAAAUCUCAUAUAAGGGAAAAUGUGGGUGUUUGGAAGGAAAAAAUUAUUUGGUGACUCUAAUUUUGGGACAAUGAAAAAGGUGAAGUAUAACAUUAACAAUGAAACUGAUGGAGUACUCAAAAUUUCUUCCCUCGGAGCAGCCAUUUAUACUUACUGAUGCUAGUAAUUAAAACUAUCUGCUAGUGUUUUACAUGGACAUUUUGUAUUUCCCAACUUCUAAUAAAUUAGAUAUAAUUCUUAGGACACAAUUUCAAUAAAAAUGUGCAAGAAGGGCAGGCCAGAAAAAUUUGGGCACAAUCAUGUAUACACGAAAAUGUUUUUUUAGUGCAUAAAGGCAAGAGAAUGUUCAGAAAAAGGGAAUGUGACAGGUACAAAGGAUAAGUUCAGCAGUCUGCUGCUACACAAUCUCCAUGACGCAAAGUCAUGUAAAACUUGAUUCUCAAAACUAAUUUCUAAUGCACGAGGAGCAAAGGUUCCACAAAAUCCCUUUUUCUUUUUCGAUUUUUCCUCUCAUGCAGGGAAAAAAACAAGCAUCAACAUUGCAGCUCAAUAUCAGGAAAAGUAGCAACCGGCAACAAAAACGAAACCAUUCUGCCACAGCUCCCUUCAUAAACAAUAAGCAAAUUAGCCAGACAAAAUGAAAAAGGCAAAUAGAGAAUGGCCAUAAUCCAGAAUCCAACAAAUUAGGUACUGUAGUGUCGAAAUUCAUUUAUAAAACUUAUUUAUCAAUUCCAGCGCCUGCCCAGCCAAAACUCCUGUUUAAUUAUUUGCACUGCUCUCAAGAAUUCCUAUAAGUUUAGUUCAAAGGCUUUACCAAAAAAUUAAGAUAUGCUAUUUCAAUGAAGUAUUUGAGGACUUUUUUUUCUCACUCCACCACUCAUGUGGUUAGAAUAACAACCUCAAAAUAAAAAAUUAGGACCCAUAUGCAAGAGACGUACCUCCAGAAGCACAUUUUACACGAGCUUGCUAGCACAAAUUAAGUAUGCUAGGUGCAUUUUGUGCCUCACUAUGUACCUAAUCUAUAUCAUUUAGUUGCUGAAAUCCUAGGACCCACAGCAAAUUAACAGAGGAAAAUGCACCAUAUAACCAAAAAGAAAAAAGUGCAGUUUGUUUCCUGUUUUUCAUUUAUUUAUCUUGUCAAGAUGGCUUGACAACCCCCAUUAACCUGUGGUGGUAACUCAAUAGUUCCCAAAAGAAGAGGAAAGAAACCGGAUUUCAUCUUGGGAAUUGGAAAUACCUUUCCCUCAGAGAAGAUAAAUAGCGGUCAAGACAUCCCUGAUGCACAGCAUGUCCACAAGAAGAAAGGUAAAUCCCAUCACAACCUGAGGGGCCAAAUCCAUCAUAGGCUGGAAGAACCAUUCUGGUAUCUGUCUGUCUGCAAGAAUGAGUACUUUCUGAUACUGAUGGGUAAUCUUCAGUUUCUUUGUAAACAGAAGCUAUAUAUUUCCCAAGCAAGAGACAUUGGGUGCUUCUUUCUUGGUUGCCUCCAGCUGCAGGAUAGUUGUUAAUAUGCAACAACUUACCAUGCAUUGCAUCUCUUAUCAAUGAAUACAUAUGGUCUUCCACCAUCUCGAUGGAAGAAGCUGUUCUUUCCUUGUGGUCAUUAGAAUUGGAAGGUGAUUCAAUAUUCCUAACUGAAGGAAAGUGGGCUUCAAUGAAUUUGAGGAAAGCAUUUAUUUCAGAAGAUCGCCCAUCCAAUGCAAAAUCAUCAACUGCACUCUGAAUCAAAUGCAAUAGUUCAGAAUUUGAGCCAAGUGGUGAAGUGCUUAAGGCACUGCUCGGAGAUGAAAGAUUGUCUGCACUUUCGCCUGUAGAUACUUCUUCUCUUUUUGAAGGGACACUUUGUGCCCAUGAAAGGGGGCCUCUAUCUAGGAAACUAAGAAGCCUGGAUUUCUAAGAAUUUAAGCUGAAAGUCAGAACUGAGUAUAAAUUAAAGUAAGAUGACAGCGAAGUAAUGUGGCAAUCAAAAGCAUUACAAACCAGCACUUGGCAAACUCAAAAAAAAAAUUAAAAAAUUGUCACUUAAAUGCACCUACCUGAAGAAGAACAAGGAAAGACAGUGGACUUUUGGAGUUAAGGUCAUGGCAGAGAGAACAAACGACUUCUUCAGUGUCUUUAGACCCAAAUUCAACAUCAGAAUUGCACAAUUCUUUUUGACAUUCUGAAUCCUCUGCCCCAUUGUCAAUAGUGGUAUCAAUGCUUUCCAAGAACUUUGACUGUUGGGCUCUCAUUUUCUCCUGUGCAAGCAAUUAGAAUGUAUCAAAAGAGGAAACUCAAACAAGACUAACAGCAGUAACAACAAUAGACAGGAAUGUUAAUAGCACUACUUUGUACUAAUUCACCAUACAAAAGGCAAAAUAGAUUGCUCUAGUGAAGCAAACAUUAGUAUACUUCCUGAAAUGAACAACAAAGCAAUAGCUGUAGCUGACACACACAAGCAGUAACUUGAUUCGAUUUUCUAUAAUACAAGACAUGCAUGUAUUUGUCGUUGAUCCAUAUUAAAGCAUUUUCUGGAUAUGUUUAAACCCAAGCUGUGCUGAACUCAAAAAUCUCGAGGAUAACAACAGAGAGAUGCAGAUACAUCUCUCCCAAAGAAGCUUCAAACUAGUAGAAAUGAAGCAUGCAAUCUAUUCAUGCAUCAGAGACAUGAUCCUUGGUAGAUAUUCAACUCAGAGCAUUACGCAUGUACAAGGUAAACCUGAAAACCCUCACAUGCUUGCAAGCAACAAGCAAAAACAUUCGGGUCCCUAACACUCCAUAUUUAUGGGUUUCUUAAAGCAAGAAUAGACUGGCAACUUUAUUGACAAUGACAGUUCAACGCAAAUAAAAAAGCUUAAAUACAUAUCACCAGUUAAAAUGAAUGUUGAUUAAUUUGACAAACUAUGCCAUAAGUAUUACAACAGAGAUCCUCACCAGGAUUGCAGCCUGCAUCUCACGUGCUUUUGCCUUGCGUUUAUCAUUAUCUGAAGCAAACCCAGAGACAUUAGCAUCAGCAUUUGAGAUGGACUGUGAUAGCUGAUUGACUACUUCAGGUGCAAGCUUUUGCAGUUUCAUGAAGCAUCCCGGUUCAAGCUCAGCAAAUUUUCUGAUUAGAUUUCCACACAAAGAUGAGAGGCUAGAAGUGGCAGCUUCAAUGAAGUUAUCAACCUUCUCUUUUUCAUGGAUCCUCAUCAGCAUAAUAAGAAGGGAUAACAAGCUCUGAUUGCGAUGCUUGGUUGUGGAUAUUUCUUCACGUGCAAAUUCCAAAAUGGGAAUAACAUCACCUGCAUAACAUGAAUGCUCACCAGAUUCUCUUUGCACGGAACAGACAUCCAAUGCUAGUGACAGCAAAUGCAACGCCGCCAAAAGCACACCAUCAGGAGCACGCAAUGCAGUUGAUUUAUCAGAGAAAACAGCAUAAAAUAGUACAGCACGAAUAAUUUGUAGUACAGUUUUACAGGUAGCUAUUCGAGCUAUCCCACUGAGAGGGUCAUAAAUCUUUGACCAUUUCGGAAGCUGGGUGGUUACUGCAGAGUCAUUACAAAAGCGCAAAUAUCUUUCUUCUGCCACCUGCAAGUCCCGUGAAUUCCAACGUGGAUGAUACAGAUCCAGUUCCUUCCAUUUUGGCAAUCGCAGUUUGUACAUACCCUGAAAAAACAGAAAUAACUGAUCACAUCUCAUCAAUGAAAACAAACAGAUUUUCUAUCCAGAAGCUGGAAAGGAUGGAGGACCAGAAGCACCAUAAGAAACGCAAACCUGAUUCAUGCCAGAUGGAUUGGAAUAUACAGCUACUGUAUCCAAUAUUUCCUGAAGUUUGUCAAUUUUUGAUACUUCUAGGGGAAGUGAUUUCACCAACUGACUAUGAGUGGCAUCUCCAAUGGAUAGCCUAUAUACCAAUUCUCUUUGCAAACAUUCAGUAUUUGUCAGUCCACAAAACCGCCUUUCUUGCACUAUUUGUAUGAUAAGUGUGAGCAUUUCCUGCACCAGAAUUGGUUCAUGCCUGGAAAUUAACAGAAAAGUGGCUGCAAGAUUAUUUGCUGAGAAGUAACAAUUUCUUGCCAAAUAAAGAAAUAUUCACCAUAAAAAGAAAAGAUUCUUGAGAUACAGCAUAGAAUGGUCAAUUAAUAUGUGAUCUAAGAAAAAAAAUCCUACACAAACUACCACAUUCCAUCAAUCAAAAGAUAACUCUUAAUGUAGUUGAAUUCAUCAUAAUCAAUUUCAUUUCUCAAUCUGGAAAAGAAGCACCAAGCCCUCCACUCGAACCUUUAUCUACCAGUAUAAGUUACCUUAUAAAGCAAAUGAGCACCAGUAAAUGGAAUUACCUAACUCACUCUGUAUCUGAACUACAUCCAUCACAGAAACAGAAAUUAUGCCAAGAAGGAUGUGAAGGCUUAUUAAUGAUGAAAGGACUAAAAAUUUCGCGAAGAUAAGAAAGUUCCUCAAGAGUGUGUGAGGUUAGGGUAACCAAUUACAUACUCACUAGACCGUUCAAGAUUCAGCCAAAGGUAGUUUGAUAGCCCAAAACGUUCCAGUAUUCUCUUAACAUAAUGAUCAGCUGGAGCUAGUGCAGCACAGCAUUGCAGGAGAAAAAGAUCAAGCUCUAAACCCUGUUCAGAACUGAAUAAAAAAAACUACCGAGAAUAAGAAUAUGCACCAGUGCAGGUUCCUCGAGAUCUGAUCAUAGAGAUGGUAAAGUACACGAUAAAAACUUUUCACCUACCAACGAACCGAGCGAUACCACUCACAAGACAAUAUGGCAGCAUCUCCAUUUCUGCGCCACAUCCCAGCUCGAACCUGCGCGCAGAACACUCUGAUUCGCAGAGGAUGCUCCAUAACAAAGGCAGAAAACCCAUGAGGGUGGCAACCUCCUAAAAUAUGACCAAAGAAGUCCUGAUGGAUGGUUGAUGAAGGAUCUCCAAAAGUAGCUCUUGACACAUUUUGCAGUGUAGAUUCACAAUAACACUUCCUCAGGGAUCUCUGUAAAACCAUGGAUAGUAAUCGAUGUAAUGGAAUGUGAGCAGAUAUAUCCUCAGAACUAACAUCAUAUGCUAAAUCAGGCCAAUCAGACAAACUUAGAACUCGAAGCGCUUCCAACUCAGUAGCACAUUCUCCAUCCAUAGGACUAUCAUCAGAACUACCAGCGCCUGCUUCUUGUCCCAAACUUUUGCAGGACUCCCGGCCAACUCCCAUGUUAAUACCACUUCGAGACGGUAAAGAAUAUUGUCUGCCAAGUACUUCACCUGAGCUAUUGAGUUUACUACUUGAAGAUGGCACUAUGCUUGAUUUAAAAAUAUAUCUGCUUUUCCUGAACUUAGACAGAGUCCUCUUCAAUGCAAAGAAAUUAUUGCCAGACAUAUUACCUAGUUUUGGAGAUAAGUAACUUAAGAGAGGCCCUGAUGUGUUAUCCACUCCCAACCAAUUCUCAAUAGCCCUCAAGCACUCAUAAGUUAACCAUAACACUGAUGAAGGAAGAGAAAAAUCAUCAGAUUUUGCAUCACCAACCUUUGAUGAAUGAUCAAACAAGUUCCUUCCAGUCAUACUACUAACAGAGCAUUCCUGUGAUAUCCUCCCAACUUUGGCAUGUCUUAUGCUAUCUUGGUCUUCAAACUCUUGUUUAUAUGUAUUUAAGCAAGUUUCUUCCUCGCUCCCAUCAUGACCACUGGCAGAAAAUGCACCACCAACUAAAAGUGAAUGAAUAUUUGCAAUAGAACGACCCAAAAGAAAAGGCAAAUGCAUAUUAUCAUUUUCUUCUUCUAUAUGCAUGCCUGUUUCUCUCUUUUGAGGAUUCAUCCCCUGCACAAAACCCAAGAGUCUCAUCCACAUUCUUGAUAUAUCUCGCCGUUCACGAGUCACAAAUAUGGGCACAACAGAGUGGCUCAUAACAAAGCGAAUGUCCUCCACAACUCGGAUAGUAGUUUCAUAGAGUUUUACCCACUUGGUAAUCUGAAAUAGAACAACGAUCAUCAUUCUUCAACGAGACUAGCAAUUUGUAUUACAAGUAACAACCAGAAUACACAAUGCAGUGGAAUCUUGUUUUAUGCAAAAUAUCAUUGGGCUUAAGGUAAAAAAACUGGCGCUCAACACCGUGGUUGAAGCAAGGCCAGCAGAAAAAGCUGCCAAAAAAGAUAACAGAAUCUGAGGUACUAGAUUCCCUAACUCUUACCAGACUCUGAUCAACAAAGGAUUUAGCUUAUAUAGGCUCCAGAAUAGGUCCACAAGUAGAAACUAUAUAAAACCAAAUCCCCAAAAUACCCCCAAAAGAUAGAGUAAUUAUUUUAAAUUUUUUUAAAGUUUGAAUUUUGCACUAACAUUCUGUUUAAUUCAUCUCCACUUUCAAAAAGCAAAAUUUUUUCAUGCCAAUCCCAGGGAGGACAUACAUGAAAGGACAAGGUAUUUAUUGAUUAAUUUCUAUUGAAGCACCAACCAAAAAAUUUUAAAAAUCUGACAAAGUCAAGGUUGUUAAGAAAAUAACAAAGGACAAAAAAAAAAAUCUCUGCUUUGAUAUGCUGUUUUUUGGGGGAAAAAAUUCGAAUAUUCCCUAAACCAUAUUCCAACCUCCAUUUUAAUUUCCCAACCAGCUUUUCACCUCACAAACAUCAUAUUCAAAAUGUGAAACAAUAUCAGUUUUCCAAAAAAGCAAUCAAAAUAGAUAUUGCUCGGCUUUCAGUGUCUAUGGUGGCAACAAAAGGAGGUUUAGUAAGAUAUUUGGCAACUGCAGGGAGGGGGGGGGUCCAUCCUAUCAAGAAGGUUGUACAGCCACAAGCCUCAUGUUCAAAUGCAAUCACGAGAUAUACACUCACAAGCAUUUCCAAGAGAAAUAGAAGAGUCUGUGCUAAAAAAAGCAGCUAGUCCCUCAACCAAAAAAGUUAGACAAAAAACUCAACCUCCUAUUUUCUGAAAGACCAGAAUAUUAACAAAACAAUAAUAUUAUUAAUUGGUCACUAAUACAUAGAUUUUUUGGAACCAAUCAAGUGCUGGUACUGACUGCUGAAAACUAGAGAUAGCUCUAGCAACUUCCCCAGACUAUGCUACAGAACCACACAAAAUUUUAUAUAUCUGAAAAAUGCACAAACAGUUAAUAUACAAAACUUAAAGAGCUAUAGAUAAGCAGAUGUCAGAACAAAAACGUAAUCGAAACAUACCUGCAGCUGACCAUCUUCACCAGCACAAGAAAUGAAUAUAUCUCCUAAACAUUCCAGAAGCAUGGGCAAGAGAUUCAUUUCCUUCACAAGUCGUGGAGUUAGUGUAGGAACGGUGAAAAUUUGCACAGAGAAUGUUGGUAGUAGAGGAUACUCCUUGAAUAUGUUAUCAUUAUACUCUUUUAUGGCUUCCGCCACAACCGUUGGAUAAUAACUUAAAAAUACUUUUGCAAACUCAUAUUUAAAGUGAGGUUCACCCAGCAAUUUCAGUAGUAACUCGUACAGUUUCCUAACAUCACCACCAACCAAGAACCUCUCUACCCUGACAAGAACAUCUAGCAAACCAGCUGAAGAGAAUACUCUCCCGGAAAUGAAACAAAGAAGGCUUUCACUGCAUUUACAGAAUUGCAAUAGUAGCUCCACGACAGCAGAUGUCAACUCUUCCGCGAACUUUUUGAGUUCAGGAACAUGAUCAGAUUUAGCUUCAGAUGCACUUUCAGCACAUAUAAGCCUCCUUUUCCAGUAACCAAGUAAUGAAUCCAAAACAGGCCACAUAGAGUCAGCAAACUCCUUAGGAAGGGGUUGUAUCUGUUCAGCACCUUUAUGCUUGGAACAGAAACCCUCACGUUUCCAUGCAGUAAUAUCCCCACAGUCACAGCAGCCACCACCUGUGUAUAUGAUAGAGUAGUCAUGAUCCUUGUGAUUCCCAUUUUGGAAACACGGAACACAGAUUGCACAUGUUGGAUCAUGCUCACAUGUACGGCAUUGGUAAGCAAUAUCAUUAUUCCCCCAAACAGCUCCACAAACACCACGUUGGUCAACAUUCAUCUGAGACAGGUUCUCCAGUGCUGUUCCUGGAUCACCCUUGAACAUCAGCCACUGCAACCAAACCAUACUUUCAUGGAGUAUCUGUUUAAGAGUAGGGCCUACCCUAUUUUCAGUUUCCUCAGACUCAGCUUCUGAAAGAGCCUCUAGUGCAUCUUUGUCAGUAGGAAGGAUUGUAGAGACUAAUUCUGCCAUAUCAAAAUGGCUAUUCUUCACAUAAGAAACUAAACCAGGCUGCUGACCCUCCACGUACUCCGGAGGAAUUCCCAGUUCAGCCAGCCUCUGAAACAGAUGUUUGAGAAUAAAAUUAAGUGCAAAGUUUAAAGUACCAAGGUCAUAUGUCCUUUAAUUAAACUGAAGCAUCCAACAAUACAUAGUAUAGCAGCUACUAAUAUUUCAAACAUAUAUACUUCCCACUUUCGAUGUUUAUAAAAAGAACCACUACAAAGAUAUUGAAAAAUGAAUGUUUACAUGCAAAUCUACUUCUUGCAUAUGAUUGCCACAAGGGCCAAUUAGAGCAAGCUAAAGGCAUGAAGAAUUAAACACAUUAGGCUAGAGGAACAAAGUCCCCACAGGAUGACAUAGGCAAACAUCCGACAGAUCAGACUUUGACGAUAUUAAACAUGCAAAGAAAGGGGAAGAACCACUCAGAACCAGAACCUAGCCAAAAUGUAAAAUAGACCUCAAUUGCAUUACAUGCGGUGUGAAAUAAUUCAUGUUUUUUGGUGUGAAAUAAUUGCCAUGUUUCUUGUACCAUUCUGGAUAGGGUGUAUUGAACAAGCACAAAGAAAGAAGACUAAUUCAUUCUGAGCAGCACAAAGAAAAUGUGAAUGUAUUUCGUUUUUCUCCUUUUUGGCGCAGAUCGAGUCAAUGCAUAUAAACUUCGAAGUCUCUGAAAAUCUUCACCCUGAUGGCAAUUCUCAUGCAGCUCAACAAUAGAGACAAUACGCAUCCAUCAAAUUAGCAAGGAUACGAAUGUAGAUAAAACUUUUUAACUUCUCAAGAGAAACACAACUUCAUCUGCUUGUUCGAACUCUUCAAGUGCUUUAGAACACGACAAGAUUCAGAAAUCUUGAAAGUGCCUUGCAUUUCAUUUUCCUUCCCAACUUGUUUGCUACAAAAGUCAUACUAUCAAAUGACCCAUAAAUUACACGAUAUUUUGUAUAAACCUCUAUAACCUUAUGUCCAACAAUUAAUCCAGCUACCCCUAAUUCAAUCCUAUGAAUUCAUACGCUUCUUUCGGCCUUUAUUCAGCAACUACCCCCUUGACAAGUUCCGUUCAAAGUAGUGCUGUAGAAUACUAAUUCAAAAAACUGACCCCAAGCUGAUCUAUUUUGUCGAAGACCAAAGGGAGCUAGUUCAAGGCUCCAAGCAUCCCAGACUGUUUGUGCAGCAACUGAUCUAUAUAAGUGGUUGGUCAGGUUUCAGUUUACUCUCCAAUCUUUUACUUCAUUAAAUCCAAGCAGUAAGACGAGCCUCACUCAUAUCUGAAACUCAAUAUCUACAUUCUUUUUUUAUAUUUAUAUUUAUUUUUUCUGUAUUUGAUGAGUUGCAACAGAAACGACUAUUCUAGAUAAACUAACAGAAGUUAUAUAACUCCAUUUACCUGAACUUUCACAGUAAAGUUGACAGUAUAUUUAAAUAUCAAUCGUUGAUUUUUUUUUUUCCCACCCCCUCUUCCCAUUCCAAACCUUUCCUCGUCAACCAACCACCAGUAACCAAACCAAAAUUCAUCAUGGAAUACGGAGCCAACAAUCAUGCAAAGAAUGUAUAAAUAUUCAAUGGAAAUAGCAAUCUUUUCAUAAAUAAACGCUGUAAUCAGCAAAAAAAAAAAAAAAAAUUUAUUUGGGUGGCGGAGGCGUAGCGAAAAACGCUGUAAUCAGUAACUUCAGGUAUCUAGUUUUGCACAAUGAACCCUUUCCUAACUUGUUAAGCAACAAAAGAAGCAGAAAUUGGAGCAGUACCUGCAGAAUGCGAGCUCCAGGAGAGACAUCCAUGGCCUCCGUCGGCGAGUCAAUCUCCAUCUGGAACGUCGCUCCAAAGCAAUCAACGCAGUUAUACCACUGCUUGCAUCCACAACUUUCACUCCCCAGGGCUGCCCAAACCCCCAACUCCCACCAGCCUUAACACCCACAGCAACUGUAAAUAUAGAAAUAUUUGACCUAUGAUUGGAAACCCUGGAUAGACAGAUAUAAUAAUUCUACCAGGGGUUUUUUUUCCCUUCUUUGGGCCUUAAAAUUUCAGAGCUCAGCUCCUCGUUUUGUCUUUAAUAAAAUCUGCGUCUGUCUGUCGAAGAUUAAUAGUAUAAUUUUGGAUUUCAAUAAAUAUGUGAUGAUGAUUAAGACGGUUUAGCAAUUUUGCUCUCUAAACUUUUUUGCAUAAUUAGGGGAGUCUACAAAUAUAUUAAAAUCCUCCUCCUUUCUCUGUUCUUCUCCUUUUUAUUUCCUCCUACUUAGCGCCAUUGCCCCUGGGUCGGGGGAAGGGUGGAAUGGUCAUUUGACGACCCUUGGCCUUGGGGGUCCGGUGUAAGUCGGUGAAGGGGUGUCGUAUUUGUGUACCGACCCCGUAUUCGUUGAUUCAUGGGCUCAUGGGCUAGCGAGAGAGGGACAGACGACCCUUUCGAAACCAUACGGGCCGGCUUAAUGGAGUUAAAUGGAAAUUCAAAUUGGCACCUGGCCCAGCAGGAGCAUAGUUGGUUGGAGAGGGCACGUGUUCUACCACCUUCAAUACAGUAGCCAUUUAAUUUACCACUCUUUUUUUUUUUUGGGAAAAUCAUUAAUUUACCCCUGCAACACACACGAGUCAGUCGUUACGGUCUUGCGUUACAAACUCCCUCAAAUUAACUUCGCUCCAAAAAAACAUCUAGGUGUCUCAACCAAUAUAUCAUUGGGCAUUUCCAUCGUUCUUUUUCUUUUAAAAAAAAAAAAAGAUUAUCAAUUCUUAACUUGUAAACAGUGGGCAUCAACCGUUACUUUUCUUGAAAGGAAAAUAAAAGAUACCAAAUUGAACAACAGGUUGCAUUGGAUCACUUCCUAGUUAUACAAUACCAUCUCAACUUUUGAAGUUCCGAGCAGUUAACUUUAUGUUAGCACAAUCGAAUCAAGUUGUCCAUGACUCAAAAUCCAUACUAUAUAUAAGGAGAGGGAGGGUUCGUAUAAAUAUUUUUGUGUCACUUUAUGUUCUUUCUAAACUAUCCUUGAUAACGAUUUAUUUCCAAUUUUUAAUAUAUCCUUCUUCCAACUAACAUGUAUUUCUUAUUAUUAUUUAGUAAAUCUUUUAAUUUUUAUUAGCAACUAUCAAUUAUGAUUAUGAAUUAUUACUAAAUAAUUAUUUGUUUGUAUAUUUUAUUUUAAUAAACUUUCUACAUAUUUAUUACUAGAACAUAAAAUUAAUUCUUUUGAAAAUGAUUUCAAAUAUACUCAAAAAAUUUAUCACAAAUUUCUUUUAUUAGUUGCAUACAUAUUUGUGUGCGUGCCUUGAGCACUAGUGUGCGUGACGUCUCAAUAGAAUGACGGUUCGAUUGUUUGUUGCCAUUUUGAUUCCAAUCCUUCAACUUACAAAAGAAAAUGCGAUAAUUUUAGAAACUUCUCUCGAGAUUUAUGACUAUUUUAUUGGCCUUCCUCCAGGUUUCUAGAAUUGUACUAACCUCUCUUGAAGUUUAUUAUCUUAUAUCAUGUAGGUCCAAUCAGCAAUUAAAAAGUGAUAUUAGUAAAGAGAAAAUAACAUAUUUUCAUCAUUACCCCCCAUCUACUAUAUUGUUUAGUUAAUCUACUAUCAGCCCAAACAUUAAAUAAAAUGUUAGAAUUUGCUAUUUAUCAUAAAGGAUCAAAUCACAUAUGGCAUAAAAAAAGGUAUAUUAUUAUAAAUAUCUCAUUUAAUAUAGGAUCCAAUUUUUUUCUUCAUUUACAAACCUAUUGUAAAACAUGAUCAAUGACAAAUAUUCAAAAAAUUUUGAAAUUAAAACAUUACAAAUAGUGAACUUUAAUACGAUGAAAAUCUCAACAACAAACCCUGAUACGUUAAAAGAAUAUUUAUGAUGUUAAAAUUUCCUCUCUAUAUUAUUUCAAUUGCAAAUAUUUUUUUAUUAUUUAUUGUUAAUCAUGUGAUUAGUAUUAAAUUAACUAAAUAAUGUAGUAGAUAAGGGACAAUGAUGAAUCAUGCUUUUUUUUUCCUCCUCUGAUUGGAUUUAAAUGUUACAAAAUAAUCAACCUUAAGGGAGGUUAAUGUAAUUUCCAAAACUUAGAGGGAGGCUAGUGAAAUAGUUAAAAACCUUAGGGGAGGUUUCUGAAAUUAUCCCAAAGAAGAAUUGAUCUUUAUUGAAAAAGGGCACAACACAAUUAAAAUAUAGAAGCUUUUUUUUUUCCCUUUCUAAUGCCACCUUGUUAAGUGGGUUUCUGUACAAAUCCAUUGUACCUCGAUUCAUCUUUCACUAGUAACCAAUAGGUAAUCUACACGAAGGCCAAAACUUACGCCCUCUCGCAUCGCUGCCACCAAUUUUCUCCAUGAUCGCGAGACAUCAAAAAAAUCUGCACUCUGGAUGGACAUCUUACAUUGUUCAAUGAAGCCACCACCCUCAACAAUCUAUAAGCUACUCCUGAAAAGCUGCAGCCAAACAGCCAAAUCUAACUUCGAUUCUGACUUUUGCUUCCUAAUGAACAAGGGAACCAAAGAAUCAAACCUUAAAAGUAGAACGACGGCCAGUAAAAUAGAGAGUGAAAACAGAUAACAAUAGCAAUAGAAGCGGAAAAGGUGAGAAAUGGUUAAGGAAGAAAAACAUAAAUAAGUAAAAUCAUAAUCCACAAUGCAGUCGGUGGAAGAGAGAUUAUUCAAGAAGGUUAGCUUCAAGAGAAGUACAAUAACACUUGUAAUUAUAUUAACAGCCGACAUAAUUGAUAGGAAAUGUCAAGAGGAAUGACAACAGCCAUAUACAACAUUAAUUUUAGCUUCCUUCUUUUAAGUUCCAACCUGCUUACACGGUCAACACUUCUUGACGGUGGACAGGAAUUCAAUCGCAUGAUACUACUCCAAUUACUGUUAGUAUUUUUUUAGUGUUAUCCACCUGAGCACUUAAUAAACCACCUCAGCAACUCUUUUCUGGUGUUCACUUUAAGGUUCACAAAUUUUAAGUCUUCCCUCCCUUUCUCCAUGUGUGUGUCUGUGAGCAAGCUAGUCGGCAUGCAACAAGAGGAAAUUCAAAAGAGAAUCCUAUAAGAAGGCGAAUGACUUUCAAUUAAUACACAUGCACAUUAAAAGGAAGAAUAAUAGACAGUAAGUCCCAUGUUGAAUAACAACUUUCCUUCUUUUUCCUAUUUUUUCCCCCCAGAUGUGUUCUUUCUUUCAUACCGUAUGGUUCAUAGGUAAAAAGAGCUCAUGACAAAGAACACUCCCUAUAAUAUAUAACUCCUCAUAGUGUAUGGAAUGGCAAAAGAUAGAGCAAAUUUCCAUUGAAGAUAUGUUAAUAUUUGACUCCGAUAAGUUUUAAAAAUAUAUGUACACAUGGCUCAAAUACAGAGGCUAAAAGAAUAGGAUAAGAAGGCAGUUGGAUGAAGUGCUCAGAUCAACAACAUUCUCCAUUUCCCAUAGUUUCUUGGAAGUGUUUUAUAAGUGACUCAUGAAGCAGAAAAAUUAAGACUAGCAAGACUUGGUCAAGUCUUUGAAGCACUCCCGGACAAUAGGGUAGUAGGUUUAGUAAUUCAUAAACAAUAUCCUUUCGUGUGGCCUUGGUAUACAAAUUAAAGAGAAAUUCACUUUAUUCAAGUUAAAGUUGUACUAUAGGAAACAAGAUCAAAGAGUGGUAAAGUAGGCCCUGCCUUUCGUGCAAUUCUUCUCCAGGGAAACAAGAUCCUGAUCUAGUGCCAACAACUUACACACUGAAGAGGUAGCAGAUAAGAAAUACUAGGAGGCAAUCUAGUGUGCUCCAAUAUAAGCAGUGAACACAAAAGGCAAAGAAUAGCACACACACAUACCAACAACAUGUACCCAAUACUAGUUGAAUUCUGGUCAAACAAACAAAAGUAGUGUAUCAAGGUUUAACUGCUUCUUGUUGGAACCUCUGCAUGCAAGAUGACCAUUUCCCACAUAUUAAAUACAAGAGCACCCUUUUUCUAUAUAUUGUCCCUUGUUAACUAUAUCCAGGUUAUAUGAUUUUUACAGAUUUGAUUCAAGUUCUAUGCCUGGCUUAUAAAGAAAAACAAGCGCUCCAGUAUCAUUUAGAUCCCAAAUUCAUCCUAUUUCAAUCAAUUAGCAAUCUGCUUGUUGAACUGCUUAAAUCUAUCAAAAAGAACAUUUAACCACGGAUUGUCAAUAUAUUGAUAGGUUCAAUAGUUCUCAUUCUUGCUUCAGAACAUGAUAACAGGUAUUAUCUGCAGGAUAAGACAUGAAUUAUAGGCUGUAAAAGAACAGAAUAAUAGGAGACAUACAAGCACUUUGACGAGAGAAAGAAAAGAAAAUUUAUAUGCAUGUGUUCAAGUAUAAACAAAUAACCAGCUCAUGAAGGCACUUACAGUCAUGUUCUAUGUCACCCCCGUCUUUGCUGUCUCUAAAUUAUUUUUGGCUGGAGAAACCUCUUUAAUGGUUGGACUAUGAUGAUUUGUGUUGUUGUCACAUUGCUCCUCGUUGAAUACAAACUUAAGCUGCUUCUCGACGGACUUUAAUACAGUAGUUCGUUUGGAUCUUAACCGAUAUGGUGGAGAUGCAUUAAAUGAUUUAGCAUUGCAAUGUCCAUUGGUGUCAUUGUGAGAACUUUCAUGGAAACUUCUAUCUUGCAACUCAGAUCUCUGGAAAGUACUAUUUUGCUUACUCUCAUCAGAUACAAGAAGUCUAUCCUUGAUACUUUCUUCGUCCUUCCCAACUUUAUGUGAUGGUGUUGAUAAAUGAUGUUCAGUCUUUCUCUUUCUUAAAAUAGAAGGAGUGUUUGGGAAACUUUGAGCAGCAAUUUUCAGUAUAGAUUCUGGCGUUUGCAGGUACAGGCCACCACUGCUCACACUAGGUGGAGUGAAAAUACCAAUAGGUGACAGUUUUGGACUACUCUCAGAGUACUGGUGACCAUUUUGAAGAUCCGAAUCCAGUGGAACAUAGUUUUCUAGUAGUGGUGGCUCAUAGUACAAGGUACCGUAUUCUGGAAUUUGAGAGCUCAUUGGUGUCUCUAUCACUCUAUAUUGAUAGAUUUCAUCACUAGUUCUGCUUUUGUCAAACAUGGCAUCUAUGUUUGGAUCAAUCUGGCCAGGGUUUAUCUGAAAAGACUCUUCCUCAUAUCUAACCACUUCAGAAUCAGUAGAAUUGUUGUGAAAAACACUAGUUGAAGCACCAAUGUCUGGGACUGAGGAGGCAAUAUCUUCUUGAUCCUUACCAACUACUUCCACUUUAUGGCCAUCUGUGAUUUCUGAUGAAGCUAAAGCUAUUGCGUCUGAUCCAUUGUGUGACCUACCAAUGACAUUAACGGAUGACAACCCACUAAUGUCUGUAGAACCAUUUUGAAGACCAUUCUUAGCAACUGGGGGAAGAUUCCCUGUGGCCAAAUAGAAAUCUAGCUUUUUCUUCAGAGAACUAUUCCAGUGAUUCUUGAUUGCAUUAUCGGUCCUGCCAAAUCAUAAAAGGCACAGCAUAUAUAAAACACUAAGCAUGAUAUCAUCGUAAUUCCAGCAUUCGCACCUAAUUUGCUUAAAGCUGGGUGAAAUCAGAACAUUUACCCCUACUGAGAUAUUUUCUUCUGUUGCUUCUAAAGUGUCCCUGCUACUACCCGAAAGCAGGAAACAGAACAUAGAUAGUGUCUGUAGCAUAUCAUCUCUAUUGUCAUAGAAACAAACCAGAACUAAAUAUCUCUUUCUCUUUACUUUGAUUUUUUCUUUUUUUUUGGAGGGGGGGGGGGGGGGGCAUUGUUGCCAGAGGGGUUGUCAGGUUCAUCAACCUAUUAAGCUUCUAAGUCAACAAAAUGGAACUUGUAUCUAAUUUGAUCUGAACAGACAUUCACCCAGAUUUUAGAAAAGCACGAGGCAGAAUUGGUAGAGUAACAGCUCACUUUACUGUCAAGAGUGUCCACAUCUUUAUGUGGCUACAAAAACUGAUAAUUAAGUUUAGAACAUCCGACUGUAAAAGAAGCAGCUAGAAGUAAUUUAAUAUAAAAAUAACAUCCUAGUCUUGGUCGAUGAAGAGACAGGUAUUACAACAAGAAUAGAUUUGGUCUAGACAGUGGACUACAUCCUGCAUCAAUCAAACAUCUGGUUAUUAUUGCUAUAACCAUUAUCUAUAAUAUUAUUAUAGUCAUAAACCAUAUCAUAAGAACAGCUUGAGAAGACCUACUGACUCAAGUGAAUGCAGCACCAAAUUCAGACACUGUCUACUGAAUGUUUGCAAUCAAGGAAUAUACCUGCCAGGUAGAACCUUAGCAAUUUCAGCCCAUUUGUUCCCGUGAACCCGAUGGGCAUUCAUGAGAGCUAGUUCCUCUUCCAAUGCCCAGGCAUCCUUCUUUAUGCCAGGAUUCAGAUGAUUGUGCCACCUAAACAUUUUGAAAGCAAUAAAUUACAUCCACAGAAAUAAACAAAGUAAUAGAACGUUAAGCUAAUUAAAAAUUUUAGAAGACUAAAAUGACUUGAUGAGAUAUGAAGAGGGAAAAUAGUUGGUGCUCAGAAAAUUAAAAACGGUAUACAAAUUAAAUAUGUAACCAUAAAUGUCUAUUGUACUUCAAAUAGGCAGACAAAAUCUCAUACAUGUACAUGAAAAUACCUACUUUCAAUGAUUUUACAUGUGCAUUCGGAGCACAGAUUUUAGAGUAAUGUAUUAAGUCCCAAAAUCCUGAAAACACGACACAUGAAAACUGCUGUAGUAUGAAUAACAUACAGACUAGAUCAAUCAAUGCCAACACUCACAACUACCUAAAACCAUUCUAGAACUGCAAAAUUUUUGAAGUUCUCAAAUAUGCACUUCACCAAUAGUUGAACAAGAAUUUAACUUCUACCAAUUUGCAGAUUAAACCCAAAAACGAAUACAUACUGUAUUUAUAGUGUUACCUUUCGCGGCACUGCUUCCCGAUUCGACCAGGCAAAGACUUUGCUAUGACCGACCAUUUUGUAGGCCCAUAUUUUGCUACUAGUUCAACAAUUUUUUCGUCUUCCUGUUAGCCAAAUAACAGGAGGAGCUCAAUCAAUAGGGGUAAUUAUCAACAUAAAAACAAUUCUGACUCAAGCCUAGAGACGCAUGAGAAAAAUGGAGGACAUAAGAAACCAGAAGCCAACCUACCUCCUGAGUCCAUGGUCCCUUAACAAGUUCAGGAUUUAGAACUUUUUGCCAUCUGUGCAAGCACUGCACUUCUGAUCUAUCCGGAAAGAAUUCAGCUGCACAAAUGGCAAUAUGAAAAUUAAAAGAAAUCUUUUGUACAUUGUUGUUUUAGAACCUAUGCAACUGCAACCCAUAUAGAUAUCUGAACAACUUCCUAUCCAAAAUCUUAUGUUAAUCUAUAGAAACACCUGUUAAAAUCUUUAGUUUGACAAUCACUACAGGUGUAUUAUUUUCUUCUAAAUGUAUUGGUUGACAAUUCCUAUUACAACCUAUAUUCAUGCGAUGCUCUAGUCCCAGAACGUAAAAUAACAGAUUCUCAGAAUGGUGCCCAUCAAAUUACUGCCACUGGGGAUCAAACAACAAUAAGAUGCACCGUGAUGCAAAAAUGAAUACCUAUUUUCUUCCAACACUUCCCCUUGAAAGCUGCAACAGCUCUUUUCAGUGUAUCAUCCUAGUAACACAUUUCCAAAACUUUUAUUAACCCAAAAUGAAAAACCGAAAAUGAAGAAUCAAGCUGCAUAUUCCAACUGAGCUACGACAAAAAUUUGUAUCUGGCAACAGAUAGAAGAUCAUGUGAUUUGAACAAUAAAAAAAUAGAUAAAUUGCAAGAAGAUAACUAUAAUAAUAAAAAGACAAUUACUUGAUUGUUCACCCAAUUGACUUCAGUCCCCAGAAUAUAACAAUUGGUAAUUUUUUAAAAUUCUAGAUCCAGCUUAAACUGGCUGCUAAUAUUGUAUGACUAAAGACUGCCUCUCACUUUUGUGGUCCGUCUCAGAAAUUAAUUGUAGAAAUUGCUCACCUCCUCUGGUGUCCAGCCUCCUUUCGCUCUCCUAAUUGGCCCCGUUGUCCUCCUACAAGUCAACAUGCACAUCAUUAUGUUAACAUGGUUUAGUGCACUUUGAUGCAUUAAAGAUGCAAAAGAUAAAGAUUAAGCCAAGCAAGUGUAAAAUCUUACAGUAACUACCAAUCUCUUGAUAUCACACCAAAUCCAGAAGGUUCCAAAUAGAGAACAGACAAAAUGGAUAUCAUUUGACUGACCACUGAAGACAGCAGUCAUUUUAGCAGCCUUCCCUAUCCCUACAUCAGCUUCCAAUUUCCUAAACCUGUAUCCUAAGACACUCUCACUUCGCAUUUUCAGCACAACACCACAAACUAUCCUUUUUUUCAUCAAUGGCCUAGAUUAACUUCCAUUGUUGCUCUAAUGAGAGCAUCAAGUGUCUACAUUAUUUUCCAACACAAUAUGCUUUGGCACAUUACUACCAGUUCCAGUUAGGAAUGAAUCUUCAGAAAUUUCAGAGUUUAUGAGUAAAUCAUUGUGGUCAAUCUGAAAUUCCACUUUCUUCCCCUCCUCCUCUCAAAUUAUGGAACCACUUGCUGCUCCUGAGGACCAAACUCAUAAGGUCACAUAUGCCGAUUAAUCAUGUAUAAUGUCCAACUUACGAAGUAUUUUCUUCUAAGAGACAAUAGACCUAUAUGUAUGAUAGUUCGUCCCUACAAAACACCAAAAUCCACCCAAAUAACAUGUAUCCUGAAGUAAAUUACAUAUCUUAAUGUGGUGAUUACAGUGAAGCUUGACAUUUUGAUUAGGAUACAUUCAGUCAAAAUCUUGAAAGGAAAAGGUACUAAUAGAAUGAAUACCGAUGAGAUGGAGAUGUAGCUGUCGGGCUUCCAAUCCCGGGUGAUUUCAGUGUGACACUGCCACUGGUUUCAGAAACAGACGAACUCGAAGCAGCUGCUGACUGCUUAUUCUCCAGACAAUAACCCUCUGUUUUCACCUCUGUCAUCUCCUUCAGAUCAUCACCUCCAGAGCUCAACAUCCUAAAGCACGUUUAAAAUAUCCAAGAAAAGAAAAGAGGAUAAAAGUCCUAAUCCACAAACAAAAGCUAGUUAAACUCGCACAAAAAGCAAAGCCCUUUAAACUAAUCUCAGGAAUUCGCCAGAAAGGGACAAACCCACGUCAGCAUAAACCCUAAAAACCCCAAUUAAAAUAGAUAGUCGUAAUCCAUUCAAUUACCAAUGAAAUUAAACUAAAACCAGAUCUCGUGAAUCAAUAUCAGAUCAAAAUAUGAUUAAGAAACCUCCAUCAGACACUGCAACACUGAAUUACUAAAACACUUACAGCUUUGGCAUAUCAAACAGAUAACAACAAUCGAUAAAAAUUAAAAUACAUCGCAGUAGUCUAAUCAAGGGAAAGCAUAGUUAAACCUAUCGCAAAGCAGUUGAAUUUUCCAGAAAAAAUUUCAAGAAUCACCUCUAUACUAGAGAAAUGGCGGGAAUUCAACUCCAGCUCAUCGGACCCUUAAAACUCAGAAAGAGAAGAAUUCAGUUUAGAGAGAGAGAAGAAGAAGAAGAUUGAAGCUUUCGUUUCGCAAGAAAACCUUGCCCGUUGAACAAUAAAGAAAGAGAAAGAUAGAGAACGUAUAUAUCCCUAUUAUUUAUAAUUUUGUACAUAACGAAUAUCACCGACGGUGCCGUUUACUGGCCGUUAAAUUUUGUUGGUCUAGGGGCUGCGGAGUUGGGGAACUUCGCAUCAGGUUAUGACGGCGGUUAACGGUUUCACGUGAACGUUGGGGAACGAAGUUUGAACCUCAAACGGCACACUGCCCUUAUGUAGGUUAUUGGGUUAAAUGUGGGACGUGCUUAGAGGAGUUAAUGGUUCCCGGGUAAUUCUGGACCGUCUGAUUACGAUAUUGAUUGUUUAGGGGUUCUGCACUUCUGGGCUUUUCUUUACAUGCCAAAAUAUAUUCCUUAUACUAUAUAAGAUUGAAUUUUGGUCAAAGAGGAAAUUAAAUUUCAACCGCAUAGGUAGGGACUUUUUGAAAAUUCUUUAUAUUAUGAAGUGUUUUGCAAGCUGAAGGUACAAGUCAGGAAAGUCUGUGAUUGGGUAUAUUAACUGAAAUGGCCUCCUUUAUAGACAUUUAAAACUUUAAAUGUGGUUGUGUGUUUGGGUAUUUAUGAUAUGUGCAAUUAAUUUGGAACCAUUUGUUGCUUUUGAUACAACUCAUAUAAGCAUGUGGGUUUGUGUAAUUACUGAAAUGGCCUUUACACAGCACACGUUCAGCUCUUGAGCCGCAGACAGCCGUUUGGGACUCGCUCUUUGGCUGAAAUUGCCUAAAAUAAGUUUUGGCCGCUCUCACAGACAAAUGUUUGUGUCUGUAAUUUGAACAGCCUUUUUCUCUGCUGUUCUUGGCCACUGUUGCCUAAUGUUUCAUGAGCUUUCCAGAUAGUUUCAUGUUUGCAUCUGAAUAUUAGUUUUUGUAUUCUUUGAAUGUUGUCUCAUGAUAUUGUUAGCUUUACCGUCCUAAUUCCCAGCUUGUCUUUUCAUUGUCUCUUAGGUGUGAACUCCACUAUUUUGCUGUCAUUUAUGCCUGAAUUUAAUGGCCAUAAACAUAGGUUUAUUAAUGACUCCAUGUCUGGCCUUUGGGAUUGGGUCUGUUCCCCCUCUCAAUUUCGGAAAUUGAAAUUUUCCAUGCCUCUUCCUUUCCCCUCUCAUCCGAGCUCAUGUCCGAAAGACCCAAUUUCUUUGACAUUAUAGCCUCAAUUAAAUAGUCAAGUAUUUGUAUGUUACUGCUUAAACGGCUGCGCAUUGAUUAUGCUUAUUUCAAUGCCUCCUCUUUCGUUUUUUUCGGUUUCACCCUUUUAAUAUUUUGGGAUUUGGGCUGUUUUUUAUGCCUUUCUACCGAGCAUCUUAGAAUGUUUUUUAGCCGCAACUACUUCUGGUGGUUCAGUUUGAGAUAAGAUUUUUUUCGCAAUUUUGUCGUUCAUGUGGGUGGUUUGGGCCAUGUGUGGUGUCGAUGUAUACUUAAUUCCUAAAAUUUGACACUGGGCCCUUGUAAUUUAGCUGCAACAUACAGAUUUUUUCAUAAAUUUAGAAAGCCUCUGUAAUUUGACUGAUUUGCUUAUAAUGUUAUAGGUUUGAGAUAAUAGCAAGAAAAAGCUCUCAGUGGGGUUUUUGGAAUAAGGUUAGCUUUCUGGUAUCAAGUCAUUUGUGUGAUUUUCUAAUAUUUGUCACUACGAAACAACAUCUACAUCCUAGAAUACUGGAAGUGCAAUAAGUGCAACUGAAGUAACUGACAACCCAGACCUCAAUUCUAAAGGAACACAAAUGGAUGUUGCAAUACAAGCAGUGGAGACACAAAAAAGAGACAGUUCAAUCACUUUGACACCCUCACCAUUUACAAAGUCCAGUGAAGGAACUAGUGGUACAAUCCCUGCAAAACAAAAUGAAGAAACCACCAAGAAGCAACGUAUCUGAAUGCUGCCUAUUACAGCAUCUAAAAGAUUUUACUACUAUUACUAUCACUAAAUAAGUAGACAUACAUAAUAUCCUUUUGAACUACUAUAUUAUCUAUCUGGAUCAUGGGAAACCUAUUUGUCCGUACAUUUUUUAAAAUUUGCUGCAUCUACUUAUUUGUCUUUGGGAACUUGCUAAUUCUAAUAUUAGGUGGCUCUUAUGUUGUUUGCCUCGUAAUCGUACAUGCCUCUAAUUAUGUCGCACAGUGCACUAUUUUUAGUUCAACGAAAACACUUUUUUAACCACUGCACCAAACACCCGCGCAUCGCCCUAGUAUAUAUGUAUAGAAAUGGGUACGUACAUAGUACAGAUUGAGUUUGAGAGAGAUUUGGAUGGGGUCGCAAUGAAGUAUGUUUUGUCAUCAAUGUCUAAAAACAUUCUUCGUGGCCACUUAGGCAUCAUUGAAGUGGAUCAUGACUUUGCCAGGGGUUGAGAUUUAUUGAUUGGUUUUCUAUCGGAUGGCGAGAAAUUUAGUUAAAAGUAUGAUACACGGGGGAUAUGAUGAGUGUAGGAUACACUUGAAUCUCGUCUAUAAUUGAUUAUGAUAAGUAUAGACAAAAAUUAAAGGGCUUUGAACCAAGGAAAGAAGGGAAUAAGAUUUAAUUCUUUAUUUUGUAUUUUGAUAGAUUUUUUGAGGGAAUCAACAGCUUUUUAUACCACACAGUCUUGGUGACAGCCGGAAAUUGCCAUUUGAGCAUAUUUCAUGCAUUAAAACGCAAAAAAAAAAAAAAAAAAAAAAAACCUGCAGAAUAUGAAGCGGUUUGGAGUCGAGACCUCGAGUUCGAUUAUGCUUAGUAUCAAUAAAUAAGCCACCUAAAUUCUAGUGACAAUCAGUUUUUUUUUUAUGUAUUUUUUAGAGAAAAUAUCAAUGAUUUCAUUCAUUUAAAUUAGCAGAUGUAUCAUUGAUUAAAAAAAGGAGAGAAAAUUAUCCCACCAUACAAAUCCCUGCUCUAAGCUAGCUGCCAGGUCUGUUCCUUGCUCUAAGCAGUCACGAACAGUUUUAUUUUAUGUUAUAACACUAGAAAUGCUAGUUGCUCCUCCAAUUGCAAUAUGUUAUAUGUUAUACUAGGGAUGAUGCUGAAUCAAGUAACUCAACUCGAGCUCGGGAGUUAGUUGAUCAAUAACUCGAUUCGAAAUCAUUUUGAUCGAUCUCGAACUUAAGUUUGAGCCACUCGUUUGAGCUCAAACUCCAAUAUUUUGUACUAAUAAACUCGAUGAAUUUAAUGGAGUUUUUUAUAAUAUAUAUUUUGAUUUUUUAUAUAUAAUAUUAUGAAAUGUCAAUAAUAUUCUUUAUUUAAAAUUAUAUAUAAAUAUAUUAAUUUUUAUUACGUGAGCUUGAUUAUACUCGAAUAGGCUCAAUUAAACUUGAUUACACUCGAAUAAACUCAAUUGAUCUUGAUUUGACUCGAUUAGAUUUAAUUAAACUUAAUCUCGAGUUCGAGUAAGGUAAAUUGAAGAACUUGACUUCUAAAAACUCAACAAACUCGUACUUGAGUUCGAAAUCAAUUAUUUUACCUCAAAUAAUGCACUAUUCAAGUUUAAUUCGACUCGAAUGCAUCCCUAUAUUAUACUUCUGAGUACAUGUACAUAUAUUUAAAUGAAAUUUUGCCAGAUUGGGGGUGAAUAUAUUUAAUGUUUUUUUCUUAAUACAGGCUAAGUUCACGCCGAUUUGAUAAUAUACAUAUAUGUACACAGUAUACAUGAGAUGUAUGCAUACAGAUUUGAGCUCAAAAGAACCCGUUAUAAUCCCAAAGCUAACAACUUUUUUCAAAGAGAGAGAAGGAAAAAAAAAGAAGAAGAAAUGGUCCGACUACUCAAAACAAACACUUACAAAUACCUAGAAUCAGACACAAGCAACAGGGGAAUUAGUGAUCAUGCACUCAGCCAAAAAAAGGCCACGAAUUUUUCUAGUAUUUUAACUUACAGCUAGGAAUGGCAGUGGAUUCCCCUGCCUUAUUGUCCAAACCAUAGUUAUUAAACCCGAUCCGGCCCGUCGGUCGAACCGGUCAAACCAGUGAAUCGGACAUUGGACCGAGCUGGGUUUCGAGUUAGAUCGUUUAAGCAAUCAACCCGUUGACUAGUCAACGGACCGGCGGUUCGACCGGAUUAAACCGAAAAUCCGGCCGAUUUUGUCUACAAACCGGGUUCCUGAAAAAAAAUUUAUGCCUUUGAUGGGAUUCGAAUAUUGGACGUAUGAGCAUUGCAACAACGCAAAAACCACCACGCUACUUCACAAUAUGGUGCCAAGGUUUCUUACUUAUAGUAUAUAAACCUUUUUCAAUUUUAUCUUUUUUUUAUUUCUCUAAAACAAAUUUAUUUGGAAUCUUUUAAUAAAAAUUUAUGACCCCCAAACUCUAUAAGUUAUAAAAUAGACUUCAAAAAUAACAUAUUACAUAAUUCAUUUUAAAGACAAAUAUUAUUUUUAAUAUUUUUUUGCACUUAAAACUUAUAAAUAAAUUAGAUAAUUACAUUGAAUAUAGAUAAAAUUUUAUACUUAAAAUUUGGUGUAUUACUAAAUAAUUUUAUAUUUUAUUGAUUCUUAUAUGAAUUAAUUAUUUUAUAGCAAAUUAAAUUAUAUGAGUAUUUGCUAUGACAUUAUUUAUUACAAUUUAUAUCUUAUAUCUUAUAUUUAAAAUUAUGAAAUAUAAUAUUUAAAUAUAUUUAGUGACCCACCGGUUCAACCACUCACCCACUGGUUGAACCAAUAAUCCGUUGAUCCACCUCGUUCGCCGGGUUCCCUCCCGGGUUGGGUUUAAUAACUAUGGUCCAAACAUUUCCCUGCCCCGCUCGGCUUCCUCACAAGUCACUAGUGUGACGCCCCGAAAAAAAAAGAGUUUGAGAACCCGUAAAGACCCUAAUCUUUUCCGAGGGUUUUAUUUCCUUUAAUAGCAUGUUUUCUGCAUUUCCUGGUUUAGGAAAUUUUCCUGAGGAAUUUUUAUGAGUAAUUAUAGUUUUUAGAUGAUUUUUCUACUAUUGGCGAGUUUUUGAAAAAUUAAGAAUAUAUAAUGGACGUGGGACCCACUAGUGCGAAAAGUUCGGAAAAAUUCGGCCAAUAAGGUUAAGUUUCGGAUACUGUGUAAAAUUUAUCGGGUGUUAAUAGAUAAGUAGAGUGUGUGAAAUGAUUGAUGUGAGAGAAGAAAGAAAGGAUAGGAAUGCAUUUAAUGAGGUGACAAGUGUCACAUUCUCAUUGGUUGGACUUUAAGAAUUACUAUUCACUUUCUUGACUUUUUUGACCAAAGGAUUAAAUAUCUCAAAAUUGCCCAAAAAUCACCAUUUUCUUCUCCAUGUUGGCCGGCCCCUCCUAGCUCAAGAAGGAAGGAAAUUUCUUCAACUUUCAAGCUUCCAUUUCACUCAAUCUUCCAAGAACAAAAGCCUACACUAGGUUCCACUCCAUAAAAUCUUUCCUUCUAGUGCUAGUAAGUGUCUUAGUGAAGUUUGUUUGAAGGUCUAAGGUGGCCAACAUCCCUCUCUCUCUUGAUUUCUUGGUAAGUGAUGCUUGAACAUCCUACUACACCUAAUGAUGCUUAAGAUAAGAUUAGUAGUGAUUAAAGUGCUGAAAUUUCUGGUUUUAUCUUGGUUUGAAGUGAUUUGGUGAAGUUUUGAUUUUAUUGAUGAUUUUUCUGGUUUAAUUGGAUUAUGGUGUUGUGGUUGUUUAUGAUGAUUGAUAAUGAGGGGUUAUGACUCUAGUGGAUGGAAAUGAUUGAUAUUUGCAACCAAUUUUGGAUUUGGAAUAAAUUUUGGAAAGAUAGGGUUCAUGAAGCUACAUUCUGACCGAAUUUAUUGCACCAUGUUAGAGGCCGAAUUGGCCUUGGCUUAAAACAUGAAAGUUGUAGGUAUUGAUGUGUUUGAAGUGCCUGUAAAAUUUCAGGUUAUUUGGACUAGUGUAGAGUGAGAUAUGUCGAUUUUACUGUUGCUGUUCUGGGUUGAUCAGAAUGCGAAAACUGCACUUGUAAUUGGCCAUUUUGACUGGAAUUGCUUUGGAUUUGGAUGUUGGUGUCUUCUGAUGAAAUGUAGCUGGAUGUCUUAGCUUCCAUAUGCCUUUGGAAUCAAUGCAUUUGGACCUGUACAGACCGAGUUAUACCAAUUACAGCAUAGUGGGAUUUGUGAACCUGUUUUAGUGGUUCUGGUUUGGUAUUUUUGGCAUAUUUGACCUAGUUGUGCUAGGAUUUGGAUUGAGUGGCCUUCUACAUUGUUGUAGCCCUGUUUCAUAGCUUCGAAACGGUGGGUCUUACACCCCCAUCCGAUAAUCAUAGUGAAAUUGACACCAUUACCGCAUAAUAAGGGCAAAACAGUUUUCUAUUUGGGGCCAAGACUAAGGCCAUUUUCUAAUUUCUGGUUUGCUAUUAUGCUCAUUUAUGCAUAUGAAACCCUAUUGGGGUUGUGUUUAGCAUUGCUAUAUGACUCGUUAUCGAGUCUCAUUGCAUUUGUUGCGUGAUUUUAGGGCGUGACGGUGGUGCACAACGUUCUUUUGACUAAAGUAUUUGAAACCGCAUUGUGCUAGCUAGGUGAGUGUACUACUCACUUAUGUGCUAUUACAUGGCUUUGAUCUUUGUACUUGAGAUGUUGAAUGUUGAUUGAUCCAAGUGAGAGUGUACUUUAUCACUUUCACUUAUUGUUUCGCAUGUUAUUGGAAAGUUAUAUGAAAUGUUAUAUGAAAUGUUAUAUGAAAUGUUAUAUGAAAUGAAAUACAUGACUUCAAAUAUUAUCCAUGAGCUCAACCCCAUUGGUUAUUGAUUGAAUCGAGCCGGCGAGGGCUUGGUCGUGCCAAUUAAUGUGCCUUGGGGCAACAUCAUAGGGAAUCUUGUAGUAUGAGAGACUCUUGAUUCCGGUUUACUCGAGUAAUACCACAAUGCAUGCGUUUGGAUUUCGGGCCCGGUUGAGGAAUGUUAGGAGGAAGGGAAUGGAAGUUAAGAGGAGUCUACGGUUGGUUACCUUUCAGACAUUGACGGAGAGUCAAUGAGACCUGAUCAAGAAUUCAAACGAGGAAAAGGGCUCUUGAGAGCCACCCGUAUCCUUUUAUCCUCAUUAUUAAUGUGUGGCUUUAUUUAUUUUGGUAAAUUGGACUGUUAAACUUGAUGUAUCCAUGAACUUGGUUGCUUGAGUUGUAUUCUCACUGGGCAAUUAGCUCACCCCGUUCCUUUUGUUUUCCUUACAGGAAUAUGACUCUUUUGGAAUGAAUUUUGAUAAAUGGUUGCCGAAUGAACUAGAUGAAUGACUCUUUUGUAUUGUAUAUAAAAUGGGACCCUAAAUGUAUCAUUAGGGCCGUUUUCACUUUUGUUUUGGCAAACCAUAUAUGUAGUGACUUUUGUAUCACUUUUAAAUGUCAUUUUGGUUUGUAAAGGCUAAAUGUUAUGUGGUAUAUGUAAUUCGAUGUUUGGUUGGGUUCGGACGAGUCGGUUACUAUUCAUGGCCGACUCCGGAUUUUAUUUCUUUUAUUUUGGGUUAUUUUGCCCUUUUGCCUUAUUUGCGCGCGUUAUAAGUUCCGGAACGUGGUAGAUCGCUCUAUACUGCACCGUUAGUCCUGGCGAGAGUUGGGCAGGCAGUCCGCUAACCUCUUUGGUUCGCUUUAGGGGAAGGUGGGGCUGUCACAACUAGUCACAAGACAAAAAGCAUACAAUAAAAUAAAGGGUUAUUAUCACUUUACCUCAUUAACGUUUAAUACUAUUAACAAAUUUUCUCUUAAUGUUAUUUUUUAGUCACUUUACUUCAAAUACUAACGGUCAAACUUAACGGAGUUUGUUAAUUAAAGUGAAAAGACAUGUCUAACCCUUAGAAUUAUUAUCACUUUACUCGCAUAAAAUUUAGUCUCAUUAUCAAUUUACCUCCUAAAGUUAUUUUUUAGACAAUUUAUCCUACUAUUAAACCAAUUUAACAAGUUAAAAAAUUUUAGAAGAAAAUACCCUCCCCUUUGCAUAAUAAAAAUAAUAAAAAAUUUAAAAUGGCUAUUCUCCUUUUUAGUAUCAAGAAAAAAGUCAGAAUAAUAAUUUCUUUCUUUUUGGCAAUCAUAUUAAUAUUGAAAAAAAUUAAAAAGAUGGAGAGGGGGAGAGUGAGAGAGAGAGCUCAAUUUUUUUUUAAAUUACAAAUAAGAAAUAAUUAAAUACUUUUAUUAUUUUAAAAUUAUUUUACUUUUUUGUUUACCAUUAAAUUCCAAUUCUAAUAUCGACAACCUUAAAGUAAUACGAUAAUGUUAGAUUUUUCUUUAUUUUCUUUUUUGCAAAAUCUAAUUUUUUGCCUCCAUCUUUCCCAUCUAUUUUUCUUUUCCUAAUGUUAAUAAAUGUGAAAAAAGAAAUUUGAGAAAAUCAUUUUAUUUUUAUGUUUUUCGAUCUUUUAAAGUGAAAAAAGGAAGAAUAACCAGUCCAAAUUUUUUAUUUUUAAUUAUACAUAAAAAAGCAAAUAUAUUUAAAAUUUUGUGACCAUACUAGUUAGAUUAACGAUGGGGUAAAAUGUUUAGAAAAUAAUGUUAGGAACUAAAGUGAUUGUAUCACUAUAAUCUAAAUGAAUAAAGUAAUAAUAACAAUGUAACAAUGCUAUAAAAUAAAAGGGUAUUUUUGUCCAAAAUUUCUUAACAUGUUAAGUUGAAUUACUCAUGGGAGUAAAGUGACUAAAAGAUAACGUUAGGGUGUAAAUUGAUAAUAGUGAUAUAGUUUAAGGGGGUAAAGUGAUAAUAAUCUUGAAAUAAAUGUAUAAUUAGUACAAAUGUAAUUAAUAAUUUAAUAUAAAUAUAUUAGCAUAACUAAUUAAUAGUUUCUAUUAAUAUAAAUAUAUAAUUAUUUGUAUAAUUAAUAAUAUUAAUUAUAUUACAUAUAAAUAAUCUAAUACCCAUAUCUAAUAAUAUUAAAUAUGUUAUAAUCUAAUAUCCAUAGUUAUAUAUAUAUGGGUGACGUGACUGAGAUAUACUUUUUUUUUUUCAAAAACGAUAAUUAUUGUAUAACUUAAUCUAUCCUAUAUUAGGCGGAGGAGGUGGACCUAAAGAAGUCUAAAAAUAAUCCGGAGAGGACUGAACCACCACCACCAGAAACCCCUCCCCCACCGACCCACCACACCCUGCAUCUGGGGCCAUCAGCCCCAAUCAACCCUGCAGGAAAGUAAGCCCACACCAGGGGGAGAGCAGGUGGCUCAAUCCUUAUUUCGAGCCCAGAAGCGCAAGAAAUUCAAAAUUUUGAAUGCAUAGCCUCCAUAAUAAGAUAUAACGGUCCAGUCCUGGUCUCGCUUCUCCCUAAUUUUGCUUCAUCAAUCAAAGAAAAUUUCGUCAUUUUCUCCAACUUCUCCAGAUCCAUCAAUUCUCUUCCGUUUCAUCCCUGUUUUUGAUCCAAUUCCAAUGGCAACUCAAAUUGGGCCCUUAAAUACGCCUGGAAAAGAUGGAAAAUUAUCAGCUUCCCAUUCCUGUUCGGUAUCCAAGGUCAGAGUCGUCAUAAGAGUUAGACCCUUCCUUCCCCGAGAAAUUUCGGAAAAAAAUGGCGAUGCCGAGUCCUGCAUUUCCGUUUUUGACUCAGAACUGAAGUCUUGUGAUGAAGUGACUGUGCACCUCAAAGAUCAAGAAACUAGGCAAGUCCAAAAAAAUACGUUUUACAUUUUCCCCCCCUUCCUUUUUGGAGGUGUUAGUUAUUUUUGGACCUUUCUAUUUAGUUGAUUGAAGUGCUAUCUUUUGUUGGAGGAUAUAGUCGGAACGAGUGCUUCAAAUUGGAUGCCUUUUUCGGGCAAGAAGACAACAACAUUAGUAAAAUUUUUCAGGAAGAAGUGAAGCCGUUGAUUUCAGGUAUUUUUAAGGGCUGCAACGCCACUGUCUUCGCAUAUGGUGCUACGGGGAGUGGAAAAACUUACACUAUGCAGGUUUAAUAUUUUCUCUGGACACUUUAUUUUCAUUACCAGAAUUCUGCCCCCGAGGGACUUUUUAAGAUCUUUGUUUUUUCGGCCCCAUUAAGAAUUCAGUUUGAAGAAUUUGUUGAAUGUAUGGAACUUAGCAUUACUACUGCUACUGUAUUUGCUCAAAAGAUGUAACUUGAUUUUACCUAUAAAAUUUGUUAACGAAUGCUGUAAUUAAUGAGCUUUUGCUUGUAUGUAAACAAUCUGAAUGAUGUUGAACAGUAGAGAAGAUUGGUUGCCCGCACAUCAUGCUGGCACUGCUUUUUCAUUUUUCUUCGUUCUUCCCUUUUUAGUUUCGUUUCAUUGUUUUGCGUUAUUCAUUUAGCUUUUCGAGUUUUUAUGUUUGACUUGAACACCUAAUAAGUGAUAAGAGCAGAAGCAGUACUCUACCCUUGAUCUGGUUAAAAGGAAACACAGUAUCCUAACUGUCGUGCAAGUAUCUUUUUCAACAGCCUCCUCAUAUUCAGGUUGUGGCUACACAGAUUUAGUCCUUUCCUGAUCCCUUGAAUUCCUCAACAAUUGUGGCUGCAUAGGUUGUGGCUAAUUGAGCUUGUAGGAUGAGUUUGUGUUUUGCAUUGCACACAGUCUUAUUUUAAUUCCCAUCUGCCUUAUUGUGGAAAAUAUGUGUUUGCCUUAAGGAUAACUGCGUCGACUGUUGUAACAUAUAAAGCAGCAUUCUUGCUUUGUUUGAGUGGGAAGAAAGGGAUAAACUUGUCAUAUAUCAUACAUUAAGUCAAUGAAAGGUUCCCUUUCUACUCUUUAUAUGCAUAAGUGUAAAUUAAUUGAUGACAUUGCAGGGGAGUGAGGAGUCGCCAGGUCUGAUGCCGCUUGCUGUGGCCACCAUUCUCUCUAUUUGCCACAACACAGAAAGUAGAGUAAAAAUCUCAUACUAUGAGAUCUACAUGGACAAAUGCUAUGAUCUUUUGGAACUAAAAGAAAGGGAAAUUGCAAUAUUUGAUGACAAAGAUGGACAAAUUCAUCUUAGGGGAUUAGCUCAAGUUAGAGUGAACUCAAUAUCUGAAUUCCAUCAGGUGUUUUCUUGUGCAAUUCAGAGGCGUAAGGUUGGGCAGACAAGCCUCAAUGAUGUUUCUAGUAGAAGUCACGGUGUGCUGGUGAUAUCAGUUUCGACCCCUUGUGAUGAUGAUAGUGGGAAAUCUGUGGAUGGCAAGCUAAACCUGAUUGAUUUAGCAGGUUUUUUUUUUUAAUCAUUACUGUGUCUAAUAGUGUCAGAUAACUGUCCAUGAAAUUCAAAGGAAAACUGAAUUUCUUUAUUGAUUCAGGAAAUGAGGACAACAAAAAGACAUGCAAUGAAGGAAUUCGUCUCUAUGAAAGCGCCAAGAUCAACCAGUCGCUUUUUGCACUUUCCAAUGUUAUCUAUGCACUAAACAACAACAAACCCCGAAUACCCUACAGAGAAAACAGAUUGACACGGAUACUGCAGGAUUCUCUCGGAGGAACAAGUCGUGCUUUGAUGGUUGCUUGCCUGGUAAGUUCUGUUGUUUUGUGUACUAAUGCGAGGUUCGAUGGAAGUUUGUACAGGUCUUUUGCAUUUUUCCUUUUUCUUUUUUCUUAUCUUUUUUGCCGCUGAUCAGAAUCCAGGAGAGUAUCAAGAAUCAGUUCGCACAGUUAGUUUGGCCUCCAGGUCACGUCACAUAUCCAAUUUUGUAUCUUCAGCUCAGAAAAAAGAUGCUCCAAGUGUCAGCAUGGAGGCAAAGCUUCGUGAGUGGCUGGAAUCUAAGAGCAAGACAAAGAAUGCUCAAAUGAUCGGUAGAUGUGGAUCUCCGGUAACCAUAAAAAGUCCUACUUCUGUGAGCUCUCUAAAAAAGCCAAAAACAGGCUGGAGUUCUGCAAAACGAAGAAUUGAUAGCAACCAGGGUGCUUCAACUUCUGUGGCUCACAGAAAUUUAUUUAAUCAUGGAGGUCCUGUAGAUCCAGGGAAGGAGGUAAACAUGAAACUACUUUCUCCAAUUGGUUAUUGCACAGAUGAACCUGCAAUUAGAGAGCAGAAGAUGGCAACAGGCAAAUGUUCUACAGGACCAUCCCCUGUUAGUGCUAAAACUAAGUCACCACAAAGUCCCUUGAGGAAAGUCCUUUCUCCAAUUGACUCCAAUAUAAAAGCUGACGACAUAAUUUCAGAAGAUCAACCUCUUGUUUCUUCUGACCUGAAAACUCCCAAAACACCUUUUAUUCAUAAUGGUGGUAAUGACCAGUUUGAGGGCACUGGAAACCCCCUUGAAAAAUUCCAUACUCGAAGUACUAACUUGAAGGUAUGCGUGCACAUUGUAUCAUGCUUAUAGGUAUUUUAUCUACAACUUCGAGUUUGAUCCUUUCCGUUCUAUCAAUGACAGGGCACUCUGGUUCAAGAAUAUAUCGAGUUCUUAAACACAGCAACCAGGUAAUUUUUUCCCCUGGCCUAGAAUUUUCCGUUUCCAUUCUCAGCGUUCCGCAGACUUAAUAACAACUGCGCUUGCUUCUUGUCAGGGAAGAGCUACUUGAGCUAAAGGUAGAUCAAAUUGAGGAAAGGAUCAUAUUUUUUAUUCAGAAAUAAUCUUUUUUUUUUUUUUUGGAAGAAUCGGAAAUGACUAUUUUCCCAUUUAAGUUUUACAUAGCCCUUUUGCUUUCUUAAUAGGGAAUCGGGCAGAAGAUGGCCGAGUACAUUACUGACCUUAGGGAGACGAGUCCUUUAAAAUCAGUAAGGAAUUUUCCAGCAUAAUGUCAAUAAAGUUCCCUGCCCAACAAAAACAAUUGAGUGCUUAACAUUAUUGACCCUGUGACUGUUACAGCUGAACGAUUUGGAGAAAUUAGGCCUUUCAUCAAAGCAGGUAUGGGAUAAACAUUUUGGAAUAACUGCAAGGAGUAUUGUCCUGUGAGAAAUUACGAGCAGAAGACGUGCACUGUUUCAUACUUAUUUUCUGGAUCUUUAUAGGUACACAAUAUGUUCAGCAGAGCUGCAAGAGGUGUUUUUGGAUAAGCUUGUAUGAAACCAAGUCACGAAAUCAUGAAGAGGAUAGCUUACAAAUUUCAGCCAGCAUCAUAACCAUUGUAACAGUUAUUUAACAGCCCUGCUCUUACCCUAAUUUCAGCAUUUGAGCUGUAGCAUCCGCAAAUUGAUGUCAUGGUAUGUAUUAACCUUUUCUUUAAAUCGUAAUUAUUGUCUUCUGGGAUGGGCGACAGCAGCAGAUUUCAUGGCACUGAACGAACACUAACCAAUUCCAUGGUCUAUCACCUUUAAUUUUAAUUUUAAUUUGAAGAAGACUUUGUAUUUUUUUUUUCAGUUUUAUAUAAAAGGAUUCAACUACUGUUUCGAACACUUGUUUACGGGCUUGUCUGAUUCGUCUUCUUCUGGUUGCGGAUGAACUGAACCUGCUGCUUUUGGAACUAAUUUCUCCUCCUUUUGUUAAAAAGAAAAUUGAUGAACAGAAAGUAUUUGAGGGAUUUUGACCACAAGUCGUUGAUAACAACACUUGGCAAAUUACUCACAACACAUCUUUCACAGUUAAACGACGGACUAUCCACUUAAUAAAUUACUCACAACACAUCUUUUACAAAAAUUAAUCACUCACCAACACAACUCUAACUCUCAUAUUUGAAAGAAAAAAAUUCAAACACGAGUUUUUUUUUACCAAAAAGAUCUCUUAACCCUUCAAACAAACCUUUUUAAGAUCUUUUGCACCAAUUUAGCCGGUAAAUCAAUCGAGAAAAAUUGACCCACUAUUUUGGAUUUUUAAAGGUAAAAAUAUCUUAUUUUGAUUGACACAAUUUUUCUCCCAAGAAAAAUCAAGCUUUCAAGGUUAAUCCGUAUUCUAUUGCGAGGUUAAUCCGUACUUUGACCCAACUUCAUAGGAAGUAAAUGCAAUUAACAAAAAAAAAAAAAUCACUAACAACAUCAUCCCCUACCUCUUUCCUUCUCCUCAACUACCCCCCACUCACUACACACACACACACACAGAUGAUUUAGUGACUUAUCUUCUCCUCCGCUCCCACACUCAAAAGAGACCAUCCUGACCACUUACUCCAUAUGCUAUUAACUUGCUACAAAUCAGAUGGAUCCCCGACGAUUUGAGGUCACACUAGCAUGUACUCACUGGUUUCUGCAUUUUGAGCGAUUCUUCGAAUCAGACAGAUUGCCGAUUUCAAAGUCGGUGCGUGCGACGCGACAUGCAUACAUCUAUCUACAAAGCACAAGAUCUAUUGAAUACUCGCUAACAAACAGAAUUUUCCCUUUCUUUAAUUUAACAAAACAAAGGAGUUUUCAUUAGCUAUGAUCAUACUCAAAAACUCUCUUCCUGACCACCAACAUACAGACAAGCAGAGGUACAGUACCAGCAAACGCACAGGUUACUACCUUAAAAUUAAUACACACACAAGAAGAUAGGCCCAAAGCAACCACGGAGAAUCCAUGGCCACUUUAUUACAGGGAACUCCCGUGACCCAUCAUCAUCAUAAAGAUCAGAUGAUGAUAGGGUGACAGGAGAUAUUAUACUACUACUUCUACUACGUCCCCCGGACAGAUGCUGACAAACCGACAACCGACACACUAAAUAUUGCUAGUGAUUAUUAUUUAGUCAUCAUCUCUGCUUGUUUUGUUAAAACAGCGCCUCAUUUGCAGUUGCAGGGAUUGCACUUGCAGUCAGGUCCGCACUUGCAACCUCCGUUCUCAGCUGCAGCCUCCUCACCGGCCCCUUCCAAGUAUCUGUCACAGCCCAUGCCAAAGUAAAAGACAUAUCAAGUCAGAUUUCAGAUCCGAUUUCACAGGUGCCCCAUAAUAGAAAAUUAGGGGUAAUAAAUUGAAAUAAUUUUGAUAAAAGAAAAUAGUGACACAUACGCCGUCUUGGGUGGUGCAACACCGAGAAUGAGAGUUUCAGCGGCGGUGUUCUCGGUGUAGCUCAACUCGGGGUACAUCUUGCAUCUGCGAUCAUCAUUUAACACCAUCACGCAAUCAGUCCGUAAACAAAGAAGACAAUUAACUGACUCCAGAUUUUAAUUUAGAGAUAGCAGCUAGAUAGGCACACAACCCACAGGACGUCCUGAUUUAUGCUUUAGACGACAAAUUUUCCACCACCGUCAAAGAUAAUAAAAAAACAGAUUUAUUUUUUUUUUUAAAAAAAAUCAAAUUUACAAGCGAAGAAGGCUUGAUAGAUCAAAACCAAAAUGAAAAUGAUAGAUCCUACACGAGAAAACCGGUCGAGGCUAUUGAUCCGGAAUUUUAACCCGAGAAAGAAAAGAAAGCAUGCACGCACGUCCAAGGCAAUUGCUUGAAGGAAGAAAAGUAAUAGAAAGUUACCCGCCACAGCCGCCGCUGCACUUGCAGCCAGCGCCACAGCCACAGUUUCCUCCGCAGCACGACAUUCUUUUUUGUUUCUUAGUAAAAGAGAUUGGGAGAUUAUUACGAGAGUUGAGAAGAGAGAUGAAAAAACAAGCAACCCUCCAAUGC
Molecule: long non-coding RNA, 66412 nt
Filed under: Coffea arabica (coffee)
Lineage: Eukaryota; Viridiplantae; Streptophyta; Magnoliopsida; Gentianales; Rubiaceae
Description: long non-coding RNA (CARA_LNC004443)
Source: RNAcentral